AGGCCGCCCUGCUAGGGCCGGAGGGAGGUGGGCACGCCGGGCUCGGGACCUUCCCGGGGUCCUGCGCCCGCCCGGCCUCCCGCCCUGGGCAUGGUUGGCCCACUCCUCCCGCAGCCACCAACCUGACAGCCCCCGAGGGCGACUCCGCCGACAGACCGCCAUGCACCGGGCCCCGCCACCAGCGCCGGCCCCACAACCCGCCUGCGCCAUAGCCCGCCCGCCCGCGCGCAGCUUGCCUCGCGCGAUAUCCAGGUUCCAGGGCCGCCGCACUUUCCUUUCCUCUUGGCGCGCCUCUACCGGGCCCCGGAACCCGUAUAGAAAAUACCGGGCACGGUCCACCCCGCCCCCCGCUUCGCCGCGGCAGCCAUCCAACUUAUCCUGGUUCCGGGGCUCCUGGAGCCCAGGCGGCCGGGAUCUGAACCGAGCUCUUCGGAGCCCCGCCCCCACCAAGGCCGGGGUGACGCAUGGCCAGCGAGGCUGAGCGCCCAGGGAAGGCGUGCUGACGUCACGACGCCCGGGUCAGGGCCUGGGCGCGGCUCGGAGCCGGGUCGUCGCUAUAGCAAUCGGGAACCGCUACCUGUCCAUUCCAAGGAUUCGGUCCAGCAGAAGCGUGAGGAGGUGGCGGAGGCCCCGAGGGCUUUGCGUCAUCACUUCUGCGGCCUGCGGGCGAGAAGGUGCGCUUCGGGAGUAGCGCGGGAGGACAGGAGGCGCAGGUUGUGAGGGACGCAGGCCCUGGGGCUUCGGUCUCUGUCCUCCGAGCUCAGAGCCUCCAGGCUUCUUCCCGGCCGCGCGCUCAGCACUCACUGUCUUACGGUCCCGAAGCGCUUUAAGGUGCGCAGUCCGCAGGCCUUGCCUACUGAUCUUCCAGCCACCCCUUGAAGGAAGCAGUUGCAGGUAUUAAGAGCUCCUUAUUGAAAAGGACGAUGUAGAGGGGCGGUGAGGGACUCGCCUCCGCAGGGAGGGCGCCCUGGCGGUCUUCUCAGGUUCUCUCUCAUUCCCGCGUCAGCUCCACCGUCAGGCUCGAAACCGACUACUCCCUUUUGUAGGCUUGCUUUGGGUUGAACAUAAAAACCAAGCCCCUUUACUAUUUCCCUGCUGGGAGGGGCUGCGAUUGGGAAAUUUUCAGAAACCUGAGGGAAAAUUAAAAGGGAGCGAGCUUUCGGUAAAAAAUCAAAUUAAAAAGGAGGGGCGUUAGAGAAGGAACUGGUAAAGAUUGCCUUUUAGGAGAGGAACUGGGUGGCUGGAAGAAUGAGGUGAGAAACUUUCCCCUCUCUAUCCUUUCAGACUUUAACUGGUUUCUUUUGUAUCUUCCCCGCCCCGAAAACAAUUUAACUUAAUAAGAAUAAUUUUUAAAGGACGUAAACUAGACACAGUUACAAAGUACGGGGUUUGGGGCUUGUGGUAGCUAAAGGUGUCUUUGGGGAUGCGGGCAUCCUUUUCCUCUCCUGCCUGAAGAGCUUAACUAGAAAGCCCCCCUUUCGGUCUUAGACAUCCCCUCUUCCUGACUUGUUCUGGCUGGGACCAGAGUUCAGUUUAGGUAGGCCAGUGAGUGACAUUUGAUGGUUAGAAUUCCUACGGUUAGAAUUAAUCCCUUCUGUAUCUCCUAGUAUGGAAAUAAACUGCCUGGCCACUAUGCUGCCCUCUUUCCAUUCCUUUUUGGUGGAAGUUUGACAAGUUAUUUCCCAUAGAAAAUAACUUAUAGGCCGGGCGCCGUGGCUUAAACGCCUGUAAUCCCAGCACUUUGGGAGGCUGAGGCGGGCGGAUCACGAGGUCAGGAGUUCGAGACCAGCCUGGUCAACAUAGUGAAACCCCCCCUCUCUACUAAAAAUACAAAAAAAUUAGCUGGGCGUGGUGGCGGGCGCCUGUAAUCCCAGCUACUCCGGAGGUUGAGGCAGGAGAAUUGCUUGAACCCGGGAGGCGGAGGUUGCAGUGAGCCAAGAUCGCACCAUUGCAGUCCAGCGCGGGCAACAGUGUGACUCCGUCUCAAAAAAAGAAAAAAAAAAAGAAAAAGAAAAAGUACCUUAUAGAUACAGAGAGAAGAUUAAGUAGCUCCUCUUAUAAUAUGAAUUGAGGGUUAGAAAUACCGCAGGGAAUAGAACUCAGGCUGUACCUGAGUUUGUCCCUCUCCAACCACCCUUUUUCCAUAGCUCUCUCUGUAUAUAUAUAUCUGUCUUUUCUCACAUUCCUUACGGAUCGUAAUCUGAUGGCCAGUCACCUCUGCAAUUAUACAUUUAACAAGAGCUCUGGGAAACAGUGUCUGAAUCUGAAGUAAUGAUCCUAAUGGAAGGUAAUUUCAGGUUCUCAGGAGAAUUGGUGAGGAUAUUUUGGAGGGCAGUAUUGAAGACCAUUGCUAGCAGUUUCUCUCCUAUCCCUUCCACUCAACAUAUAGGCUGGUGAUCUUCAGACAUUUUUUAGAAUGAACCCAUAAAAGAAUUUUGAAGAGCUAUGUACCUCUUGUUCAUUUUUAAGUUGAUACCUAAAUUUUCCUUCAUUAAUUUAAAUACUUAUAGAGGAUACAAUUUCAAAUUUUGACAUCUUAAACUAAGACUUACAUCAUUCUUUUUUUCUGAGACGGAGUCUCGCUCUGUCAACCAGGCUGGAGUGCUGCAGUGGCGAAAUCUCAGCUCACUGCAACUUCCCCUUCCAGGUUCAAGCAAUUCUCCUGCCUCAGCCUCCCGAGUAGCUGGGACUACAGGUAUGCGCCACCAUGCCUGGCUAAUUUUUAGUAGAAACGGGGUUUCAUGGUGUUAGCCAGGAUGGUCUCGAUCUCCUGACCUCGUGAUCCGCCCGCCUUGGCCUCCCAAAGUGCUGAGAUUACAGGCAUGAGCCACCACACUUGGUCUACAUCAUUCUUAAUGUAUCUGGCAGGGCAGGCACAGUGGCUCAUGCUUGUAAUCCCAGCACUUUGGGAGGCUGAGACAGGCGGAUCCCGAGGCCAGGAGUUCGAGACCAGCCUGGCCAAGAUGGUGAAACCCUGUCUCUACUAAAAAUACAAAAAUUAGCCGGGCAUGGUGGUGCGUACCUGUAGUCCUAGCUACUCGGGAGGCUGAGGCAGGAGAAUCACUUGAACUCGGGAGGCGGAGGUUGCAGUGAGCUGAGAUCGUGCCACUGCACUCUAGCCUGGGCUACAGAGUGAGACUGUCUCACAUUAAAAAAAAGUAUCCGGUGGAUUCCAAGUACCCUAAAAAUCUAAUGCCUACCAUCAUCCACUUAAAAAUAUAUGAACAAGCUCUUCAACAGAAAUUUUAUAUGGUUCUCUUUCUCCUUAUACUUUGAAUUCCAUUCACUUCCUGUAAUCAUUAGUAUAUAACUUACUAAACUUUUUUUUUUUACUAAAUAUUACUAAAUACUAAAUUUUCCUAAAUAUUUUUAACAUUUUUAUGACUUGUGAAACCUAAAAAGUACAAUUUUUAUUGAAAAUGCAUCUGUUAAUGAGAAAUAUGGUGUUUCUCCCCAAUUAGUUCAGGUAUUCAUGGAUUAAUAUUACCUAAUGGUAGAAGGAGAUAAGGUGCAACAUCAAUCCUUUACCUGUUUUUUAUUUUUAUAGACAUGAGUAUUGAGAAACCUUGUUUCCACAAUUGGGAAAGGAAGAGAUUUGUUACAAUGAUAUUCUUUGAGUCUUUGAACUUCUAAAUUAUAUGCCAACAAUCACAGAGUGAUCUAUUAAUACUAUCAAAUAGAGUCUUCUUUUAAUUUUGUUAAAAGCAAAGGAUUAGAAACCACUGAACUUCCAAAAGGAUUUAGUUAUUAGAGUCUCAGUUUUGGUUUUAUUAAACAUGAUUAUUAAUUAUCUGUGACCUUUACACUCAGAGACACUUUGUUAAUCAGAUAUUGAUUUCCAUACUUCUUUGCCUACACAAUAUUUUUUGGUAAAAUUCUUUAAUUAUUACAUGUCUUCAAGAACUUUUUGUUAAACUGAAAUGCAGAUUCAGCUCAUUCACUGUAUAGAAAACAACUGCCAUUUGUGGAAUUGGCAAAGCCAGUUUUCAUUUCAAACCAAUCAGCCAAAUCAGACCUACUUUCUGUUAGAAACAUGUCUGACUUUAUUCUUCCAUUCAAAUAAAUAUGUUAACAUUCAUUUUGAGGAAUAUUAUAAAAAUUAUUAGGAAAUAAAUGAUUAACUAUAGCUUAUAAAAUGGACCACUGAUAAACCAGUCAAGAUUAAAAUUAUUUAGACCUACUAUUAACAUAAUAAAUGGUAAAAAUAAGAUAGUACUGUUUUUCAUUAUAUAAUUAGGAAUAAUGCUGUAUAAUGUAUAGUUAAAUCCAUCAGUUUUGAGAAGUCAUAUAGAAGGCAUAUAUUCCCUUGGUAAAUGUGUGUGCCUGCUUUCAUCAAACUCUUGUUGUUCAGCUUUUGGGAACAAUUAAAUGAGAAUCAUGUCUAAAAAUCAGAAAUAACUAAUAAUCUUGUUACACAAAUUUUUUUCUUCUGUAUUUUUUAGAAAGGAAAGCUGUAUUUGCUAAGAAAUAAUGAAUUGAGCAGCUAGCAAUUUCACUUUUUACUAGGAGGUAGAAAAUAAUAAACAUUUUAUAUAAGAUAAAAUAGGAAGACUGAUUGCAAUGGGAAUAUUUUGAUAUGAAGUGGAAAAUAAUUGCUCCCUCCAAGCUCCUCAGGUUUUUACACCCUGGACCAUGCAUCAAGAUUCAGUGUAGGGGAGAGACAUUCCUUUCUUUUGUAAAGUAGGACAAGGACUAUGGUGAAAGUGGGGGCAGUGGUAGAGUGGAGAAUGUGCAUGAAUAUGUCAGCUGGCUCCCAAAUGGAUUGGUUUUUAGAAUUUUUUUUUUUUUUUUUUUUUGAGACGGAGCCUCGCUCUGUCACCCAGGCUGGAGUGCAAUGGCAUGAUCUCAGCUCACUGUAACCUCUGCCUCCCGGGUUCAAGCGAUUCUCCUGCCUCAGCCUCCUGAGUAGCUGGGAUUAUAGGCGCGUGCCACCACGCCCGGCUAAUUUUUGUAUUUUUAGUAGAGAUGGGGUUUCACCUUGUUGGUCAUGCUGGUCUCAAACUCCUGACCUUGUGAUCUGCCUGUCUUGGCCUCCCAAAGUGCGGGGAUUACAAGCAUGAGCCACUGUGCCUGGCCGUUUUUUUUGUUUUUGUUUUUGUUUUUUGAGAUGAAGUUUUGCUCCUGUUGCCCAGGCUGGAGUGCAGUGGCACGACCUCGGCUCACUGCCACCUCCGCCUCCUGGGUUCAAGCGAUUCUCAUGCCUCAGCCUGCCAAGUAGCUGGGAUUACAGGUGCCUGCCACCACGCCCGGCUGUUUGUUUUUUUUUUUUUCUGAGAUGGAGUCUUGCUCUGUUACCCAGGCUGGAGUGCAGUGGCCCAAUUCAGCUCCCUGCAACCUCCCCUUCCUGGGUUCAAGAGAUUCUCCUGCCUCAGCCUCCCAGGUAGCUAUAAUUACAGGUGUGCACUGCCACACCCGGUUAAUUUUUGUAUUUUUAGUAGAAAUGGGGUUUCACUAUGUUGGCCAGGCUGGUCUCAAACUCUUACCUCAGGCGAUCCGCCCGCUACAGCCUCCCAAAGUGCUGGGAUUACAGGUGUGAGCCAGUGCACCCGGCCUGGUUUUAGAAAAUAUUUUAUAGGGAAGUUGAGGAUCUGGAAAUUUAUUCCUUUAAAACUCUCCUCAGACUGAUUUGAGGCUAUUUCCUGGGUAUUCCUUGCAGUCUUACGUACCCUAGGAAAAAUCUUCAUUUACCCCACUUGGAAGACUUCUUAAUAUAGGCAUAUCCAAACUCCAAUGUCCCUGACUAUCCAUUAUUUUGAGACACCAAAGCAAAUGUCCUACGAAGUAAGGAGGAAGACGUGUUGUUCUUAGAAUAGAAGUGAGUUAUGAGAGAAGUCAAAGAGGAUGGCUCCAAGUUGGUAUAGUGUGAAGGUCAUGGAUAUGGUCCUUGGCUUUGCAGUUCUAGAAGUGUGAUUUUGGGUCAGUCCACACAAAGGUGUUCAUGUUUUGUCACAUUAAAUCAAACUCAUAGGAAGUUAAUGUACAUAAUAGAAUGCCAGUGCAUUCUUUUAUACUUACAGCCACCAAGUGAACUGGAUUAUCGCUCCUGUUGGGUAAAUCUUAUCUGGGAAGAUCAAUUAUAAUCAGAAAGUUACAUGAGGAGUGUGGAUCUUGAGCAUGGCUAUUGUCAAUAAGCUGAUGAGCAGGUGCUCACUACCUGGCAUAUAAUAGGAUCUCAGUAAUUAUGGAAUGAAUGUACUUCAUCUGUAUCUUCAUUAUAGAUGCUAAAGGGUAAGUUUAAGAUUCUGAUAGGCCACCCCACAUGUUUUUUGAUCAGGUAGAUUUUUCCUUGUUGCUCAAGUUAUACUCUUAAAUGGCUAUAUCAUGUAGAUAUUAAAUCCAAUAAAAUUUCAUGAAAGGGAAUUAUAUAAUUGCAACAGCAAAGUUUUAUCUAUAUCUCUGAGCCUAGAAAUUGGGACUGUUCAUUUAUAAUAGAGAUUGGAGAUUGCUUUCUCCUGCCCUGUAGGAGUAGUGAUGGUGGUAGUGACUAAAUGAUCUGUAUUUCACAAUACUAUUUGGUGGCUAAGAGUGUACUGCAUACAAAGAAUGACACUGGGUGACCCUCAGUGCUGGCGCUUUCCUAGAGGUGGGACAUCCUGAGUAGGGAGGUGCUGAACCACCUGUGGGCUGGCCAGCUGUUGUGGACUGUACUGUGGAGAGGAGGAACAAUAAAUUUCCCCCACUCCUUAGAUCCCCCUCAGGAGAUAAUACUUGAUGCUGCUUUUAAGGACAGAGAAAAGACAAGCCUUUUCAAAUUUUAAAAUCAUUAGGGAUGAGUUGCCAAAAAAUUUGGGUUAAGUUUUAUCUGGAAGCCAGAAGACAUUGUCUCCUCAAGGCUUUUUCUGGCUCUGGGAUAAGCUAUUGAGAUAGAGGAAAAGAUGCCGGGCUGAGGAGUUUCAUUUAGUAUUUUAAUAAUAAUAAAAAAGACAUACAAAAUCCAAACAUUUCUUUUUACAAUUCAGAUACAUAUUUUUCCCCAAGUGCAAAAUACUCUAUGAACUGCAUCAUUUGCUGUUUAUUGUCGAUUGUAUAGGAGAUGCUUACUAAAUUGGCAGCAGUGGAAGGCAGAUAUAAAUACAAUAUUUUGAAAUUUCUUCUGCAUUUAACAAAAAGCCUCCCACAUGGCGAUGAUUAUUCUGAAACUUGAGUUCAGCUCACACAGAAGUAUAAAGUUUUCAGUUUGUUCAAACUGCUACAACCUGUGGUGUCUAAAAAAGCUGAUGACAACUGGGGGUUCUAUUCCUUCUAAUCAUAUAUUUCCUUGUACAAAUAAUGGCACAAGGAUAGGGUGUGCUACUUUUGAGACGGGUCAAAUGUAAAAAUAUCCUUGUGUUGUUCGCUCCCACUUUUAUUGUGCUUAAGAAAGAAACCUGGAGGGUUAACAUUUUCUGCUUAUGCUCAGUUAUACUUUGUCUUGGUACCCCUUGUUUGUGGCUGUAAUAUUGAGGUUAAGCAGCAAAUACAAAAGUUCGAGUGCUCUAUAACGUUUUCUGACAUUUUGAGAUAUGACCUCAUAAUCCAUUCCAGAGUCACCUCAAACAUGUAUAUAGAGAACACUUCUCAUAUAAAAAGUUUCUCUAGGGCCAAAGACCAGGACUGUGUUACUGAACUUUCAGCAACAAAUCUGAGUCUCCACCACCUCAAACUGACCAAAUCUUGGGGGCUGUUAAAGCAGUCACAGCUCAGUGCCAGCCUUUGGGGAUUUCUAGGCCUGGAGCAGGCAGCUCAGAUCCAGGAUCUGGUCAGUUUUCUUCUGACUCCAAGAGUUGUCUCAGGUUGUAGGAAUAGGCAUGGCCUGAUAAUAUAGAAAGAGGGAGGCAGAGAAGUAAAGAGGAACUGCCAUGUUGCUGAGGAUAUAAGUGCCUUUCUGGUGUGCAUUACUUGGUGCGUGAAGCCCUCCCAUUUCCAGGCUCAGAGCAGGUGAGGUUUUGUACUAAGAUGAAUGGAAGCCCCACAAUACUGUCGCCCCACACCCUACACGCUGCAGAGAGGCCUCUGGGUUGCUUCAUGAAGGGAUCCUAUUUAUACCAUCUUUCCAUUUCCCUCCAAUGGUAAAAACCUCUCUUCUGUCUGACCUGUAAAGACCUAGAAUGUCCCUGAGCGUUGACUCCUCAUUCAAUCCAGUUAACCCCUAGUUUGAUGUCCCAGGGCCAGCCUCCUCCAUAGAUUCAGCAGCAGCUUUGCCUGGGUUCUUAACCCUCCAACUUGGAGGACCUAAAUUAAACUUGGUGGACAAUAGCAGGUUUUUACCUGCUCACCAAGAUCUGCCUUGACAUCAAUUAAGAAGCCUAGUGGUCUAUGCCUUCCGUACUGUGGAACUCAUUUGCAGGUCUCAUAAGCCAUGGAAUAAAUGGUUGAAGGAUGUGUAUUUGUAUGUAUGUAUGCAUGGUGUGACAGGAAAGGAAGGGAGAAAGGAGAAGCCAGACCCUGAAGGCAUAAAUUAAGAAGCAUGGUCACCGUUUGGCUUUCCAAGAGACGCAAAACGGCUGGCAGAGAGGAAUCAGAAAGUUAUCCUAGGCUGGGCGCGGUGGCUCAUGCCUGUAAUCCCAGCACUUUGGGAGACUGAGGCGGGUGGAUCACCUGAGGUCAAGAGUUCAAGACCAGCCCGGGCAACAUGGUGAAACCCCAUCUCUACUAAAAAUACAAAAAUUAGCUGGGCGCGGUGGCGCAUGCCUGUAAUCCCAGCUACUUGGGAGGCCGAGGCAGAAUUGCUUGAGCCUGGGAGGCGGAGGUUGCAGUAGGCCGAGAUAGCACCAUUACACUCCAGCCUGGGUGACAGAGCGAGACUCCAUCUCAAAAAAAAAAAAAAAAAAAAAGAAAGAAAGAAAGAAAGUUAUCCUAGCUUCUGGUGGAGAAUUAGGAUAGUCAGAGUUGAUUAAAGCAGUUUUCAUGGUGCUUCCUGGGAAGUACAGAGACACUCAUACUAAAUGACCAUUUCCCUUGUUUGGAAGCAGCCAUUUUGCAUCUUUACAGUGGCCCUCCUUGACCCAGAAAGACAAAGGUAGCCAGACACUCUACCCACAAGGACCAUGAUGUUGGCUAAUGGUUGUCAGGGAAUCUAGCUGUGUCAUUGGCUACCUACUGCUAUGGCCGUUUUGGCUGAUGAAUGCUACUGAUGGGAGGGCAGGGAGUCAGACUCCUUUAUUUAGUGUUGAGUCUCCUGGGGGAGCAGUAGCCUAGGACAGUCACCUAGAAAUGAACCUGAGCUGUUCUGUGAGUUACCAGGAGAGUUAAAAAGAAAAAAAAAAAAAAAAGAAAUGAACCUGAGGACUCAGUUGGUAGCCUUUGAUUGAUUGGGACUACAGCUUUGGGGGAACUAGAGUGAGAAAACAGAAAAUAAUUUUAUAGGCAACACUUGGAUUAAGGGCAGAAUGUGUGCAGGCUUUGGGCUUGGGCAUGGACUUGAUUCUUCUUCCAUUUGAUUCUUUCUUCCUUCUGAAAAACAGUAGUUGAGGAAGCUAAGCUUGAAGUCAACUUCAAAGGGAAGUGACCAGAGCCAGGCAAAUAUCUGAUGCCUUCUGUCUUAUUCUUGGCUCCCACAGCUUUGUCUCUGGCCUCGGGACCCUGAGUCAGCCCAUCCCCAGGUGGUAUGUCCUGGUCCUCUUCCAUGUGUACACCAGGGGAUAACAGGAUGAAGACAGGGAAAAGAUGGAGGUUUUCCCUACUUGGGGUAGAGAAUCACUGACCAGUUCCAUUGGCCUCUAUAAUCAUGAGGUCCACACUGACUCCAUGGAGAGGCAUAGGGAUAGCAAGAUUGGUUUAGCAAACAUAGGUCUCUCUCCUUUCUGCUCCAUCAAAUCCCCAGAAUUACUUUCCUACACAUCAGAUGCCUCUGCGCAAUUACCCUGGAUUACCACAGCCAAGGGCUCUAGGUGGCCAGUGGUGGCAUAGAGACAGAUCAGAUGCUCCAGCACUCAAGGUUCAUGAGAUUCAAAACCGAUUUUCUUCCACUCCAAACAUACACUCUUUUCUCUUGGGCAGCUAUAAAUAGGGUUUUGCUAAUAGAGGAAGAAGAAACAAAAACAAAAAACAAACCCAGAAAACAAAAACCCCUCCGUCUAGACAACAUAGAAAGACUCAAAAUGAUUGCACUUAUUAGGUGUGGACAGGGUGGGCAGGAGGCUCGCCAAGUGCACACACAUUCCUUUUGCUGCCCACAGCCUGAGGCCAGAGGUAGGUGGCUCCAGGCUGGCUUCAGAGUGGGGUCCUCUUUGGUGAAGCCCACAAGCCAGCUGGGGCUACAAGGGAAAAACAACUGUAGGGCAAGGCCUAGGCUGGCUUCAGGUCAAUAACCAUGUUUAAGGACAACAUGUAGCAAGGGGAGUAGGGCUCCCCCAGGGAGCAUCACAUGGGGCUGAGGAGGUGGCUGGGCCAGGGAAGACAAGAAAAGGGAUUAGUGUUUGAAGUUGACUUCCAAUUGUUCUGUGUCUAGUCCUUUAGAUGAUACAUUUUUUCUUUCUGUUUUCUUUUUUUUGGCAAUGCUUUAAAACCUUGUUUCUGUCCUGCAGAGUUACAGUCUUUCUCUCAGGGAGCUACAGCGGGGCAUUCACCAUGACAAUGCCUGCUGCUCUUCCUCAUUUAGCCGGUGUCCACUAACUCAGUGUUGUGGGCCAUUUGUAAACCCUUAUGGAGUAGACCCCAGGCAGACGUAGGGAAAGAAAGAGAGGAUCUGUAUAGACAAGAAAGCUGGCCAUGUGGGAAGUCCAGAGCUCAAACCAUGUGCCCCAGAGGACUGGUGCUGGCAUUAAGCCUGUAAAUCAAAGGCUUCUUUGGCAGGACCCUGGGCUGUUAGAAUCACCCUAGGGAGCAGAGCCAGGGGACAUUUUGGCCCCUGACUAGCAAGGCACAACCCUAUAAUGGCAGAAGCCCUUCUUUCCCCUCCCCGUUUCCCACCAGACCCACUUCCUUGAUGGGCCUCUAGCACCCUUCCAAGCUGAUGGGGUCGGGAAUGUGAGCUGGUAAAAUGGGCAGUGGAAGGGGCUGUACUGUUUCUUUACAUCUCACGGGGACUAGAGCCAGUACUGAAUGGCUUUUCUAGGUAGUGUGUUAGAAAAGGGGGAACAGUAGAGAGGCAGGCAGAGAGAGACAAGGAAAGGAAACUAGAAAGACAGAAAGGGAGAGUGCCUGGUUUGUGUAGUGAUAUUUUUUUUUUCCCUCCAAAAAGAGAGGAGAGAGUUCCUUGUCUGAGGGUAGGGGGCUGCCGGCUCUGAGGGCUAAGGAGUCUGGGGGCUUAAAAAAUUGGGUCUCUGAGCCUAGGGUUACUAUUUGUAGGGCCUCAGGAAGCUGGAAACUUUGGAGCGGAGCAGCUUGAUGAAGGAUUUUGGCAGCAUCUCCUUGUGUUUCUCUGUGUACUUGAAGUAGUUCUGGGGGUGGGCUAGCACCUCAAAGAAGGCCUUGAUGAGCUUCUUGUCCUGCAAAGGAUGGCAGGGAGCAAUGUCAGCCUCACCGUCGGGGGUGGGAAAGAGAAACACCAUGACUCAGCAGCCCUUCUUGAUGUCUACUAGGCAUCCUAUACUGAAUAUAUCCAGAGGGCAACUCUGGAUUCCCAUUCCCACCAUCUGCCCUUAUUCUGGAAUUCCACAACUGAAUCAGUGGCAGCUCCAUCCUUCUGUUGCUUAGGCCCCAAUCCUUGGAGCCAUCCUUGAAUCCUCUUUCUUGCUUACAAGUAUAGCAAAUCCUAUUGACUCUACCUUCAAAAUAUGUCUGGGUCUGACCACUUAUCAUCUUCCCAAGCCACCACUGUCUCUGACUUGGAGUACUGUAGUAGCCUCCUAACUGGUCUCCAUGCUACCUUUGUCCCUCCGUAGACUCUUCUCCCCACAGCAGCCAGAGUGACUUUUUGUGUUUUUAAUUAGUUCAUCUUUUUCCUGUUUGAAACUCUUCUCUGGUUUCUUUUAUCACUCAUUGGCAGAAUGUGAUCUGUAUCUUGCUUUCCACCUCCACUCUUGCUCCCUCUGCUGAGCCACACUGGCCUUCUGGAGGUUCCUGAACACACUAAAUUGCUCCCAUGCUCCUUAGCUUGGAAUGCUCCUCCCUCAUCUUCUAAUGGGGAGCCCUUUUACCUCAUUUGGGUCUCUUCUCCUUAGAGGCCUUUCCUGACCACCCUGUCUACAACAGUAGCAUGGUAUGUGGAGAGCCUACUAGGUGCCAGGCACUGUGCAUUAAAACUCAGGUCUUCUGGCUCCUAGGCUGGUGCUCCUUCCAUGGCGUCAGUGGAUUUUUCAAAUAAGAAGUAGGGGUUUCAGCCUCUUACCCCACUUUAAUCAGAACAGCUGCACUGCUUUAUGUGUUGGAAUUCCACAGUACAUUUGAUUUGAAAUAAGGGUUCAGAUGCUUUAAAAAUGUUUGAAAAGUAUUAUUAAAAGUAUAUUCUUUGAAGUCUGCAAGUUCUAGGUGAUUUUUGUUGUCAAGGCUUUUAUUUUGAUGAUAAUAUAAAAAUAUUUUGCUAACACUUAACUUUUUUGCAGUGAUAAUUUAUGAAGGAUAAUUCUAUGACUACGACUAUAGUUUCCUUUUUUUUUUUUUUUUGAGACUGAGUCUAACUCUUGUUGCCCAGGCUGGAGUGCAAUGGCAUGAUAUCAGCUCACUGCAACCUCUGCCUCCCCGGUCCAAGCAAUUCUCCUGCCUCAGGGUCCCGAGUAGCUGGGAUUGCAGGCGCCCGCCACCACACCCAGCUAAUUUUUUGUAUUUUUUUAGUAAAGACGGGGUUUCACUAUGUUGGCCAGGCUGGUCUGGAACUCCUGACCUCAGGCGAUCCACCCGCCUCAGCCCCCCAAAGUGCUGGGAUUACAGGCAUGAUCCACCAUGCGCAGCCAGACUAUAGUUUCUUAAGGAAGAUUUUCUUAAAUUGGGAUUCACCGACCCAGGGCAUCUAGUCCAUUCUUCCAUGUUGGAAGUAUUUAUUUUCCUUGAAAAGAAGUCUGUACAUAAAUUGAUUCUGAGAAAGCUGUGCUAGAUCUGCCGCUGCUUUUUUUGUUUUUGUUUUUUUGAGACAGGGUUCACUCUUGUCACCCAGGCUGGAGUGCGAUGGCGCCAUCUCGGCUCACUGCAACCUGCGCCUCCUGAGUUCAAGCAAUUCUCCUGCCUCAGCCUCCUGAGUAGCUGGGAUUACAGGCGCCUGCCACCGCACCCGGAUAAUUUUGUAUUUUUACAAAAUUAAGACGAGGUUUCACCAUGUUGGCCAGGCUGGUCUCAAACUCCUGACCUCAUGUGAUCCACCCGCCUCGGCCUCCCAAAGUGCUGGGAUGACAGGCGUGAACCACCACACGCAGCCUAUCUGCUGCUGCUUAAUGAGGCCUGGGGAGAGAAUAGGGGAAGGAAGGGACUUAUGCAAAAGUAUCUUUCUAUACUUCACUUUCCCUAUGUCUCUUGGAAGAGGUAGGGACAUUUCUUCUCCUCACUUUCCCUUUCUCUUCCAAGUUUUCCCCAAGGUGUAAUAUAGUGUGGGUGACGCUGCAGUCGGAUAGGCUUGGGCUCAAAUCCCAGCUUCCCAUGGGGCAGGUUCUUUAACUCUCUAUACCCCAGUUUUCCCAUCUGUAAAGAAGCAAUGGAGAAAGCACCUACCUCAUAGAGCUAUUGUGUCUAUCAAGUGAGAAUAUUCAUGUAAGCACUUAGCCUAUUGCCUAUAUAUUGUUACAUGCUUAUUAAAUGUUAGCUAUCAUUAUUGUUAAUAUUCAUUCACCUUUAAAAUCUCCUGGUGGUUUUCAGAGGCAUAGAGCCGGCCAUCUCGCACAAUGUCUUCUACCAGCUGCUCAUAGUCCUCUGCAAAGUCAACCAAGGUGAGGGGCUCAGGGGCGGGAGCUCUUCCUGCUCUCCUGGUUCCCUCUCAAAACUGACAUACCUCCCCUUCUCACCCACCUCCUUGGCUUACCAUCAUAGGUAACAUAGGGAAUCUGGAAGCCACGGGCGCUGUUGGCCUCGCUUGUCUUGAAGUUGAUCCAGAGCUUCCUGGAACGGGCAGUGAAGGCAAUGGGACGCUCGUAGGUCUGGCAGGUCUCAUAAGUGGUAAUGGAGGAUGGGGAUGCUGGGAAGGCAAGCAGCAGGUCAGUAGAGCAGCAGGGCAGGCUACCCAAGCCCUCCUAGAACGUGGGCUGUACAGCUGGUGGUGGGGGUAUAGGGCAAGAGAAUCAUUCUGACAAAGGCUCCCCCUUCGCAUACACACACCCUACCCCACACCCUCUCCCAUUGCCCACUGGGCUCAUUCCACAAUUCCUCCUUGAUACCUGGGCACUCACAUAGUGUAAUAAAUAUGACAUUUAAAUGAAUGGAAUGGCAAAAAUGCUAGGAUAGGAAAGUGAUACAUGUAACGCCAUUGGAGUUCUAGCCCCACUGCUAGCUUUCUUAACUCUGUUUUCUACCAAACAUGUGUCAUUGCUGUUUUCCUUUGUUAGCUUCUCUCUUCCUAAAGGCCUCUCACUAUUUCACCCUCAUAGAUCCCUAACUUCACUGCCCCAUUUCUUCCUGUAUCAGUCUCUCUCUUUGUUCUCCGCCUUAACCAGAUUUGGACUGCCCUUCCCUGGCCCAGCUCUGCAAGCCACCCACAGUUCUUUCUCAUGACGAGGACGUCCCCACACUCAUCCUCAGAUGGCAGGAAGAUCUCUGGUACCACGAUAAGGAUCUUGCGCUUGGGUGGGGGGUUGAUGUUCCAGAUGCACUCCACACCAGCUGGGUAGUUGCCCGGGUAGUUGGGGGACUCAAUAUAGCCAGUGAACUCACCCAGCUCCCCACCACACUGACGAUCUGCAGCCAAACCCCAGUGGAUAAAACAAGACAGAGAAGGGAAGUCAGUGGGGAAGUGUGCUGGGGGAAUUGAAGAGUUCUGAAGUAGAGGUCAGACAUUUAUGGGAAGUCUGCGUUCUAGUUCAUCAUUAUUUUCCAAGCUCUGAGUCCAUCUUCCUUCCUGCCCUUUUAGUACCUUCUCUUCUCACUUCACCUGUCUCUGCUUCCUCAUUAACUGUCUCCAGGGAGAGGGUGUUACAGGGUCCAGCCUAGCAACUGGCCUUGAGAUUGAGUGAGUUGGGGAGAGGUGGAAGGUGGAGUUUUCCUGCUCCUCCACCCCCCAGCCCUGCUCCCUGUUGGUUUCACACCCCUCCUUUAGAUGUCCACUGCUCCCAGGCCUCUCUCCUCCCUUUUGCACAGCCUGGCUUGCCACGUACUCUUGCAUUGGGCCACACUGGUAGAGCCAUCAAAGUCUGUGCUUGUGUUUCCUGGACAGCGGCUGCAGAAGUUCUGACGGAAGUCGGGCUGAUAGGAGCCCAUGGCACAGCGAAUACAGCGGUGGAUGCUGGUGUUGUAGUAGUGCCCUGGGGAGCACUGGACUGUAGGCAAGGGAGAAGGGCAGGAAUCAAGAUGGUAGGCAGGUGGGAGUUACGGGGCAUGGGAUGGACAGGAUACAUUCAUCCUGGAGAAUCAGGAGAUCAGAUACAUCAAAGUUCUUUUCUAGGGUCUCAAUCUUUCCCAGUCAUGCCAGAAUUUAAGCCCACGGAAAAACAGAGUUUACAGAGUGGUUGGCUACAGUGCCAAUCCUUUUCUUUCAGACGCUGAGCACAGUGCCAAACCUAUAUAGAAACUCAUUUGGGAUAUGGAGGAGAAUAUGCCACCAGUUCUCCAAAGUGGAGGGGUAAGUGGGACUGUUAAUUAUUUCUCAGUUCCCAAGCUUGGGACUAGUGGAGGGGCAGGGUGGGUCCUGGAAGCAGGAUGGUAUGGUUGGUCAAGUAGCUGGGCCCAUUACUGGUUUGGAGAAAAUGGUGGGUCAGUGUCCCCUCUGGGAAAUUGGAGAGUUUUUUGGGAGUAGUUGGGGUUGGGGCAUCCCCCAGGGAGGUGAGUAGCUUACUCACCUUUGGUGUCACAGUCUUGGAAGGAAAUGGCCCCUUCAUGCUUGGUGGUGAGGCCCCCACCACAAGGGAAGCAUAGGGUCCGUCCUGCUUCAGGUUGGUAGGUGCCACGUGGGCAUGGCUGACAGGGCUUGAACCCAUCUACAGAGUGUUGGCCAGGUGGGCACUGACCUGCAAUGAAUCAAGGGCCCAACUCUGAUGGGGAUGGUCCUGAGUCAUCCCCAUGGGGUCACCCGAUCUCAGGGGACAAAGGUAUACAAACAGGAUGUUGACUAAGAGAGUGGCCUGGAGCCUGGGCCUGCCCUUUGGGAAAUCCCAUGCCCAUGGGCAUCCCAGUGCCCACCCUACCCCACUCUGUAUUGUUUGUUCCCCUGGCACCUGCACACGUGGUGACGUUGGUGGCUCCAAGAGGCCCGUGGGCAUCACUCCCAGGGCAAAGGUCGCAGGAGAGCUGCCCUUCUCUCUCCUGGAAGGUGCCCGCUGGGCAUGGCACACACUGCUCCGUCUGGCCGUGGUAAUACGUUCCCUGCGGGCAGCUGACUGAGGGAGAGUCGGCCGCGCUAGCCACCCACCCCCGCAUUUCCCACCACCCAGGCCUGGGACUCCCCUUCCCACUCCCCGCCACAACCCCCGAUUCAGGGAGAAUCUCUGUCAGGGAACAAACACAAUCCUACUUGGGGGGAUAGGAGGGUCAAAACCGUGUGCAGGAGGAUUGCUGGCCCCACCUGGCAUCCUUCUAGAUUUCAGCCUGGAACCAAGGAAGGGAGGACAGCGGGCAGGAGCAUCCUGGCUGCCUCAUAAUUUGAGAAAUGCAUCUGAGGCCACAAAGGGUCCUGCUCUGAGUCAGGCCCAAACUGGGUCUUUCCUACAUCCCUGCUCCCCAGUAAGCUCCCUUACCACACUUGGUCCCAGCACGGUGCUGCCCGGGCCUACAGGACUCCAUCGGCUCUGCUCGCUCCCCGGCUACCAGGCCCGGCUUGUGGGCCAGCUCAUAAUCAAGGCCUGCCAGGCGCAGCAGGAAGCGGUCCUGGUUGAUGGACUUUCUGAGCAUCUUCAGGGAUCCUUUCAGCCGCCGUUCCAUUCGCUGUCGGAGGCAGGGCAGCCCACAGCUGGCUGGUGGUGGAUGGCCGUGUGUAUCAGGGAGGAGAAAGAGUUGCUGUGAGCAGGAGGGCAGGGGAGCAAAGCUGGGAGCUAGGAGGGGCAUGGUAAGAGGGACUAGCUUUUAGGCUUGGCACCAGGCAGGGUCUGCCCCUAGUACAGGCUCCAUCCCUUCCUUUUGCUGCUGAGACCUGUGGUUUCCCCACCUCUGCCCUCCCCUUCCAGUCCUCUUCCCAACAGUGCCCCCAGUCCCACCUGUGGUUUCUUCGGCUCUGACCUCUGCCUCCAGUUCCAGGGUGAGCCUUGUGACCUCUUUGCCUGGAGGGGUCCGGGCCCGUCGGCCCUUGCCCUUCCGAGAGGAGUCACACUUAAGGUGGAUGAAGGUGACCUGGCAUUCAGAGCAGGGGGCACCACCUGGGAGAGAGGGCUUGUCAACCCCAGGGACAUCCCCUGGAAAGUUCUCACUCCCAGCCCAGACAGACCUCCCCAGAUCUCUAACUGUAACUAUCUCUCAAUCCUGUUUUAGUCUAGGGUCCUAAUUAGUUGGUGGAGGGGAAUAUUCUGGGACUUCCUUGGGUGCUAUGCCUACAGCUGCUUUUUCCUCUGCUCUGCCUAGAGUUCAGGGUUCUGGUGGGUUUUUGGAAGCAGAGGAGCUGAGGGGUAAGGAGGAUUUAGUGGCCAGACAGCCAACUGGAAUGGGGUCCCCAGUCCAAACCUGGCCCUGUGAUUCUGCCAGCCUCCUCUGUUUUGCCUUUGUUUCGCAGGUGCAAACGGCAUUUGGCAUCCUUGAUCUUGAAGGAGGCCCGUUGUUUAAUGGACAGCACUGCAGCCUCUAGAGGGAUGGUAGAAACUCAGCACAGUAUGGGAUGCCCAUGGAGGUCGGGGGUGCCGUAGGGGUUGUUGAGAAGCUGGGUAAUAAGCCAGGGGCUUGGCUGGGGGAGUGAGAUUAUGAAAGUCAAGGGGAUCAGAUGUUAGGGCAGAGGGAGUGAGGGAGCAGGGUUGGAGAAUUACAGGGCAAAAAAGAGGAUCCAGGAGAAAGGAAGGCCAGGGGAUUGAUGAAGAACAAAAAUAAGGGAUUAAUGUAAGAGAGUAGGGUGGGAACAGGGCUUCUGGGCUGGUGCUUACCAUGGCAGUGGUUGGAGUUGGUGCUGUUCCCAUUGUGGCCAGCUCGGGCUGGAGCAGCCCUGGGGCUGGGGGUCCCACAGCUCACCGUGAAGCCAUUCUCAGACUCUGAGAAAAGGAGCCUGUCACAGUUCUGACCUGCCUUCCCAACCCCCGCUGGCUGGAGGAAUCCAGGGGGAAUGAAGGAGCUGCCUGAACGGCCAGUCCUUCCUCUUUUCUCCUCCAAAGCUCUCCAGCACCCUCCUCCCAUGUACCUGGCAAAAAUCGGGCCCUGGAGGGACAGGUCAGGGCACAGGUGUCCUUCUUGCCAGACCGGUUGCAGCUGAGCAUGGCUUUCGAGGCCCCAGGACUGCCCUGACACUUCAGUGGCUCUAGGAAGGGGAGAGAGGCCUGAGCAAAUGAAUGCAUUCCUUUCCCUCAGUUGGGUAAUUUGGAGGAAUCAGCUACUUGCAUAACUAUUGUUGUACCCAUGGAGACUGAUGAUGGGAUUGUUUACUACAAAUUUCAUGUCUUUAACUCAAAAUGGCUACAUUCUCCACCCUUUCCACCUCACACCUUUCCCCAAUGUGAUACUCUAUGCUUUCCAGAACCCCAACUGCUCCCUGAAAUGGCAGUGUCAUCUUUGGCCAGCAGAGGGCACUGCCCACCUGUGCAAUCUUUGCCAUUCCAGUGCAGCCGACCCUGGCCUGCUGGGCAGGUACACUGGUAGCUGCCAGGAGUGUUGAUGCAGCCAAAGCGGCAACCUCCCCGGUUGAUGCUGCAUUCAUCCACAUCUGGGGGAAGGAGUAGGGAGACAGAAAAACAACGAUGGAGUUGGAGGAGGAGCCGGAGAGUAGGCAGUGAGUGAGGGCCUUUGGUUAGAGUUUCAGGUACCCUGCAUUACGCAAGAUGAAUAAGUUCGAGAGAUCUACUGUACAACAGUGUGCCUAUAGGCACAUAAAUACUGUAGUGUACACUUAAAAACUUAAGAGGGUAGAUCUCUUGUUAAAUAUUCUUACAAUUUAAAAAAGUUAAAAAGGCAUUCUAGGCACUGUAAGAUGACUACUGGCCUGAGAAGAGCUCAAACCUCCUCCAAUUAUCUCUGUCCCCAAAGGAAUGAUCGAGAAGGGGCCAAGCCAACAAGCUUUUUAAAGCCUUCCACUCCUCCCAACCAGUGAGACUGUCAUUUGGGAGCUGAGAGUGGGGGUUCAGGGACAGUUAUAGGAAUGGGAGAUAGGAAUUUUGGAGGCAGGAUGCUGUUUCCGCAGUCUCCCAGUUCUUCAAAAGCUGUCUUAAUUCCUCCUAUUUUGUCACAGCGGAUGCAGACAUGGUGCAUGCAUCCAGGGAUUGCCCAUAGCCACAAGCCAACACAAGGACCUGUUCAAUUGGAGGGUGAAGAGGUGAGGGGGCCAGGGUGGCUGGGGGUGCAAGCUUACUAGCUUACCCCCACAGUGGGUGAUACCAUACAACAGGUAGCCACGAUGGCAGAGACACUGGAAGCUUCCUGGUGUGUUGACACAUAUGUGGUCACAGGUUCGAUCAAAGGAACACUCGUCUAUAUCUGGAAGAGCAAAGAUUCAAGCCACUGAAUCUGUCUUGGAGCACUUGACCCUUGCUCAGGUGAAGGACCCAAGUGAGGGGCCUUGGCUUUCCCCCUUGAACUGAAGAGUUCCUAUUCAUGUCCUAGCUCUAGGACCAGUGAUUUAACAAUGCCAUUCCAUCUUCUCUGCCCCCUCUAUUUGAAGUCCUUGGAAUUAGGAACUGCAAGAUCUGGUGCCUUUAGGUCAGGGCCCACCAUGUGUGGUUAGGUACGUCCUACUCUGCCAAGGAUAUGAAUUGGGGUGAAAUCCAUCCCUCAGUCCUUGCCAGGCUGAAUGCUUUGAUAUGGAGCUAGUCCGCUGAGGGGAAAGAGUACCAUUUGCUAAUUUGCAGGAUGACACUGCCUCUAGAGACUCUGUGUGAUAUCUAUUGAGUUUCUAAGACUUUAGCCCUCUGGCCUCCUUGAAGCUCUCCCACAAGAACCUCUCCUAAGGCUUUCACCUUUGGCUGAGUCUGCUCACCCUGGCAGUUCCUCUCAUUGAUGAGAAGCUUAUAGCCUUUCUUGCAACUGCAUUCGAAGCUGCCCACUGUGUUGCGGCAAAUAUGGUCACAGCCCCCGUUGUUUAAGCGGCACUCAUCUAUAUCUGAAGAAGGAGGACAAAACAGGAUAAAAGAUACUAUCAAAGGCUGAGAACAAACAAGGAGAAAGAUCCCUCCCUCACUGACAGAGACAUGCAAAAAUCAAGGAGUCCUGGGCCUGCCUCUUCUUGAUCUCUCUCUGUCUCUUUCUCUUUCUCUUUCCUGUCUCUCUCUCUCUUUCCUGUCUCUGUUUCUUCCCUGUUCAGGGGAUCUGUGGCCAUUAGUAACACCCUCUCUUCUGGGAUUGAGUGUUCUUAUAAGGGGACAAAUUGGAACCAAAACUAGGAACAGGCCCUCAGGGAAUUACCUAGAGGAGGGGCAGGUGGGCAUUUGACCUAACAGGCUAGCCCUUAGUCUCCAGCUGAUGGCCAUUCCCUGAAAGGUUGGUGGGUAAGGGUUAUCUCUUUCCUGUCCCUCAGGACGGGGGGUUGGGGGGGUGCGGGGCAAGGAGAGGUGGAGGGUCUAAAGGGACUCACUGAAAACGGGCAGCCCUUUAGGGAGGAGGAGGAGCUGGGAAAGAGGCCAGGCAGGGAGGACCUCCAGGAGAGCCAGUGAGGCUGGGUAGCUGAUGGGGGAGGGCUGGGGGCCAGGCAAGGGGCUGGACUGGGAGAGAUCUGGAGAGACUCAGGCCUGAGGCAGCUUUCAGCACUAGUAAGGGAAAGGGGGGCUGGUGAAUGGCUUCCUUCCUGAGGUCAAGUUCCCCAAGCUGGUGGCAGACAGGACCCAGGCUACUCACCCCUGGUUGGGGGAAGGGGCAGGGAGGGCAGCCUUUCACUUCACUCUUAGCAUACCUGUCAACAGUUCUUCCCAGCAGGAAACCUCUCAACUCUGGCUGGCUGACCUGCUGCCCUAGCCUCCCCCCUCCUCUCGCAGCUGUUGGGCCAAAAGACACAAAGAACGAGCCCAGUCCUCCUCGUCCCCACUCCUUGUGACCAGGGGAUAUGGACCUAAUGAAUCAUCAUUUUCAGUAUGGCUACCCUGCCUUUUUCCUCCACCCUUUCCCCCCAUUCUCCCUCAGACCUGGCUAAUUAAAAGGAAGGGAAACAGAAUGCAUAAUGUGGGUAACUAUACUGUAAUAACAGUUAACACAAAGUGUUUCCAUUUGCCAAGCACUGUUCUAAGUACUUUUUAUGUAAUCACUCUUUUAAUCACAACACAGUAUGAGGCGAGCACUAUGGAAAACUGAGGCACAGAGACAUUAAGUGACUUGUCCAGGAUCACAGAGCUAGUAGGAGACAGGGCUGGGAUCUGAACCCAGCUUCAGUCCUCCUAACUAGUAUCCUACUCUCCCUUUGACCAGUACAGCCUUUCGAGGGGUAGACAUCAUUUCCCCAGAGCCCACUGGGAAGGUCUGAGGAAUGUGGGGUAAGAAGGUUAUGGAACACACCUGUGACCUCAUGCACACACACAGUCAGGGCUCAAAUAUCCUUCCAGACCCAGGAGCAAAUGUGAAUCGCAUGUCCAUUAACUAAGAGGGUUAGGGACCCAUGGGGGAUAGGAAUGAGAGUAGGGAAACAAGGUGGGGUAGGGGAAGGGGGCACUAAGGAACUGGCUGGACUUCUCUGUCCCUUGAACUGAGAUGAAACAGGCAGAUAGGAGACAACCCUUAGCUAUGUCCUGGGUUCUUCAUAAGAAGGAGGUUGAGGAGGUGUCAUCCCCUAAUAGGCACCCUAUCUCUGGUCCCAACCUCAGCCCCUUACCAAAGGUCACUCUGCUUCUGUCCUCUCAAAGUCCUUACCUUUGCACGUCUUCCUGUCUGGCUGCAGCAUGAAGCCCACAGGGCAGGUGCAGUGGACACCAGUCGCUGCAUCAUGGCACUUACUGUCACAGCCCCCGUUGUUGACAGCACAGGUCUCUGUUUAGGAGGGAAGUGGGGGAUGGUAAUGAGGUUACAAGCCUGGAGGAGUCCCAAACUCUGAGGGUAGUGGAGACCACAGAGGCCCGAGGGAAGGCCUCAGCUGCCUCUCUGUGCUUUAGAAGGAGCAUUAAGCCAAGGGAGGCUCCCAGCCCCUUUCCUCCCAUCACUCCCAACCCCCAUCCCCUCACAAGUACAGCCAAGCAGUCCACUUCCCUGCCCCCUACUUGAUUGAAACAAGGUGGACAGCAGUGAGGCAGGUACAAGCCAGAGCUGUCAGGCAGGAAUGUGCCGAGGGGGUGGAGGAGGUGGGGCGGGGGGCAGUAGGGAGGGAUGGGAGCUAAGUGAGGGUGGUUCUGGCUGCCAGGGAACCAGAAGGGACAGAUAGGAGUUUCUUCCUCUUUCCACUAUGUCUUUGGUGGGUGGGUGGGGAUUGUGGUGGGACAAUCUUAUUGUAAGUGGAUUGGAAAGAAUGAGCCGGGCCAUUCCUAAGGCAACUGAAGGAUACCCAUCAAUUUAUCUUCCCCUUCCCCGCUGCCUAGCUGUCUUAAGAAAGAUCCCACUUCCAGGAUCGACUGACUGCUCAUCCUCAGAGGAGGUAGCACAUACUGGGUUAAUCUACCUUCAACUCCUCCCAAACCCUCCUUUUAGUUCUAGAUGGAGAUAAGCUGGCUGUUUUGUUGUUUUACUCUGCUAAUGGGGAGAUGUUGUAUAGGAGAGGGGAGAAGCAAAAGAAAGAGAAGAAUCCAGAGGAGAAGGAAGGGUGUAAAAAGGUUAGUGAAAGAGUUAGAGAACCUCAGAGCUAGAUAAGACCUAAAUCCUUAUUUUAGCUAAGUCUCUUAUGCUGCUCCCUCUUAACUGGUAAGUUUUCCCUUUCACUAAAAGGUCAGAGUAGGAGGAGUGUCGAUGGGUCACUCUCCCUAUUUUCUGAAUUCACAGCAGGAGAAAAACAGGUUUAAAUGGUAGCUUGGGAAAGUCAGAUGUGUCCAAGGAAAAGCCAUUAGUUCAAACAGUGAAGGCCCCUGAUACAGAGACUGUGGAGGUGGUGCAUACUGUCCUCUUGGGGUGACUAGAAUUCUCCCAUUAGAGAGAAAGAAUCCCAAGACCUCCACUAGGGAAGAUAGAAGAAUGGUUCUCAGAAUCAAGGGAAUUGAAUAAGACCAGUACUGGAUGUACUGUCAUCUUCUUAAGUCUCUGACUCCCCACACUCAGGCCCAACUCUUGUCACCAAUGAGAACAGGAAGGCCAGGGCUCCAAAAGAAGCCUAACUCUAUGGGUCCCUGGCCAUGCCCUGGUCCCUCAAAUGCCCAUGUGUGGAACAGCCCAACCUGGAGUGGGAUAUCGUCUGUGCCAUUUCCACUUUAGUCUCUCCUGAGGCUCUCCAAGACCAUGGGAGGAACCUAGUAGGGAACAUUGAGUUCAGGUUCCAAGGCUAGCCACCCGCUAAAGAGUGCUUUUAGCAUAAGAAGAGGUCCACUAAGCCCAGGAGCAGGGGGAGGGGCACAGAGAUCUUAUGCCAAGGCCAGAUAGCUUCUGAAGGAUGUAGGAUACGGAAUAGCAGAGCUGGCACAAUGUCCAUCCCAGGCUGGACAGAAAGCUGGGCAUAGCCGCCCACCUGUGCAGGACGGCAUUCUUGAGAGCAGGGUGGGGCAGCAGGACCAUAUAGUCUCACCCCUUUGCUCUCUAGGUCACAAUAUUAAAACCACAAGUUACUCUGUGCUUAUGCUGUGCCAGGCACUUGCCAGGUAGAUGCUCUACAUGCACUAUCUCAAGCAUUACAACCCUAAGGAAGGACUGUUAUUUUAUAGAAAAGUAAACUGAGGAUCAGAGAGGAAAGUAGCUUGCCUAAGGUCAUACAGUUAGAAAGUAACAGAGCCAGGAUUCAAACUCAGGUCUGCCUGAACACACAUGCCAUGCUCUUAGCCAUUACGGUAGGAGAGAAUGGUGAGUGAUGCUGGGACUGUGAACUAAUGUGGGUAAGAACCCAAGAAAGAAGCCCCAAGGAGGGGAUGGCAUCUAAUCCUAUCGCACCCCUAUCUCAGGUGGCACAGUGGGCAUGACAGGGAAGAUGAGGCUGGCUGGGUAGAGGGGGGUGGGGAGCAGAUGGCUGGGAGUGGGGUGGGGUGUUAGAAGGUGGGUGUGGGAGGAGACAGCAGAAGAGGAAGGGCAGAAGGAGAGUGACAGGAACAAAGACGAGACCAACAUGAAAGCUCCCGGGCCAGCUCUUAGGGACUCAGGUUUCUUGUCACCCAAUGGGCCCAGUGCCCUGGCUGCCAGGAUAGCCCUGCUGGCAAGUUGGGGCCCAGUCAGGCUGGGCCCAGUGGGCAUGCAGUUAGUGGGAGCCCCAGCGGGUUAGCCCUUCCCCUAGCAAGCCAGUGAGAGCAAGCGGAGAGAGCAGACAUAUUUACCAUUAGAAACGGCUUGAGUGGGGAUGUGCUGCUCUAGCCGCCUUUCCCCUGUUUGACAUUGUAAAAAAGCUGUUUAGGUGCUGGGCAGAAGCCACUGUGGCCCUCUGGCCCCGGACCCCUCCCCACCCUCUCCUCCCCACUGCCAGCCCAAACCAGUAGCCCCAAAUGAUGAGCCCUGGGACCCUUAUGACAGCUUCACUCCUCAUCCUUAUCCUGUCUGGUGGUAUCCCCAAAGAUGCCAAGCUCCCCGCAAGUGACUGAAAAACUGAAACAGUCUCAGAAAGGGCAACCAACCAUGUGCCCAGUACCACAGAGCAUGCUCAAGCCUAAGCUGGGAUGCACCCUCAAGUCUUACUAACCACAAAAUCCCAAAUCCCAAAGGGUGCCGCCCUUUCUGCUAAACUAUACUGCCUUCUCAGUCUUCCCACCGAAUCUGAAUGUCCUGACGGCCCCAGGCAAUGAUGUUUCCUCUUACCAGGGAUGGCCAGAAAAAUUAGAUAUAUGGCAAGGUAAAAUAAGUUCUAUUGGAGAAGAGGAAGAGGAACUAGGAAAGAAUAUAGCUGUAAACCCCAGAAUAGCCUCAUUUGGUCUUUUCUGCCUCAUUUGGCCUUUUCUGCCUCAUUUGGCCACAGCCCAGUGGUGGAACAGGUCUUGAGUUAGAGAAGAGCCCAAGCUCAGUAAGGGUGUUUUCAGAAGCAACCAUGUCUGGAACUUUGAACAGAAAUAAAUCAGAGAGGGAUCAGACCUUCACAUCCCUGGCCCCUGACUCAUGCAUCUUUUCUUUGGGCACUGCAAACAAUUUCUUUUGAGAGACUGGGGAUGUGUGAAUGUGUCCAGGAGGUGGUGAGAGCUUUGAAAAGCAAAAUAAUUAGACCUAUGAGUAAAAAAUGAAAGGAGCUGAAACACACCAGCCCAAAGAAGGCAAUGAGAAGAGCCUAAAAAUGUUCUGGGGUCUUUGAAGAGUUAAUUCAGAGGGAAACGUGGCAGGGGAGAUUUUAAUUAUAUAGGGACUUUAGAAAUGGAUGUGCCAGUCUCUGGAGCAAGUGCCUGAGGGAGCCCUGUAAGAGCAUCAUCUGCUCUCCAGUUCCUAUUCCUGCAGUGAAAGGGACAGGUCCCUGGAAAGUCUAGUUCCUCAGUUAAUGUCAUGUCUCUGAUAUACAUAACUUCAUACACAGUGACUGGAUUCACACACCCCCAUCCUCAGCAUGCCACAGCCCACCAGAUGGACAGUCAUUCAUAAACACCUAUGCCCACACAGCAAGCUCAUGCCCUGCCUGGCUAAAGACACAGCCUCUCUCUCAGCCAAACCUCUUCCUUUCAUUUCCCCCUUCUCCAAGGGGAAACCUUGUUCCAUCAUCCUUCUCAGCACUAAAGACCUAAAGGCUAAAGGAAUUAGGAAUUAACUUUAAGGAAUUAAACUCAUCUAGGGUACCUGAAAAUAUGUGAGAUAAGGCCUAAGAAUUCAGGAAGAGGGAUCCAGGUAUUAAGAGGACCUCAAAUCAAGGUAAGAGAUGGAAGGCUGGAGUUGGUGAGGAAGAAACAGGGUUGCUGGUGGAGCUGAGAGGGAGUACCACUGGCAUCUGGAGGAGAGAGAAGGAAAUGGGGGGUAAGGUGAGGUGAGUAGAAAGGGGAGUUGCAGGAGGAGAGUGAGGAGAGAAGGAAUAAAGAGGAAAAAGAUACCUGGAGCCAGGAAACCCCAUCUGUCAGUCAGUUCAGGGAUGGUUGUUCCAGGAAGGAGCACUCUGUCCCACCCUCAGUUGCAGAGUGGGGACACUGGGCUUUGAUAAUUCCUCUGUUAUCACACUAGUCAACCAAGGGCCUCUGGUCAGGCCUAAGCAGAUGCAUUUCCCCAGAUCUCUUCCCACUUCUCAACUACAGCCUUGGUCAAUAAGCAACUCUGCUAAUUAUUCCCAGUUUGGCAACACUUUGUCCUGGGAUGAAGAGGGUGGUGAGGCUCCUGGAACAGGGUGGUAAAACCACUGGGAUGGGGAGGGGAAGAGGGCUGGGGAGCCCUUCAGUCUCUCUUUGAGUUGUCCCUUACUAGACCUGGCAUUUUCUGGGUCUUAACUCCCUCACCAGUCCCUCUGUGCCCAGCACCUGGGCCCCAUGCACUCCUCCACUUCCCUGGUUCCCAAAGGGUCCCACCCCCACCCCAUCUCAGGUGGACUGAGUUCUCCCCUGGCCUCACCCACCGAUGCAUGUCUUCCCGUCGGUAUGGAGCACAAACUUGAUAUGGCAGCCGCACCGGGGACCCUGCUCUGUGUCAUCACACGUGUGCUGGCAGCCGCCGUUACCAUAGUUGCAUGUCACUGUGCACAGAGAGGACAGGGCCCUGUCAGCUUGCUCCUCCCUGCAUCCACAGUUUUCCACAAUGUGGGUACUGGCCCCCUUGCCUAGUUGCCUCCCCCAUACUCCCUUUUCCUCCCAGCCCUGUCCUCUUGCUCCUGAAGCCCUAUACCCUUCCUCUAUGUUUUCACCCCCGACCCCACUGCCCCACCUGCCAUCCCAAUUAUCUCACAUUUACAGUCCCGUUGGUUCUUGGUAAGCUCAAAGCCAGGACGGCAUUCACAGGCAAUACCCCCCUUGGGUGUCUCCCGGCAAAUGUGGGCACAGCCGUGGUUCUUGUUCAUGCAAUUCAUUCCUUCUAAAAGAGAAGAAAGGGGUGUGAAUGCUCUGUACCCCUGGAUGUCUAGAAAAGAAAAACUACAGGGGGCAACUGGGGACCUAGGGAACUGGGAGAAUUCUACUGAGGUUGAAUUCAACACGAGGGGACUGACUCUCCUUGUCCCAGGCCUCCUGUCUUCCCCACAGACCUGGGUGCUCAUGAGCAGAGCACAGAGCUGUUCUGAAUGAUGUAUAACUAGCUAGCUAUUGAUACUCAUCCCAACGAAUGAUCACCCUUUCCUUUAAACAACCAAAACAUUGUGUAUAAUAGGUGUCCAGCACUGUGCUGGAGAUGGGGUGGAUUUAGGAAGGUCCUAGAAAAAUACAAGGUGUGAUCACUCCCCUCAAAGAGCUUACAGUCAAACUGGGAAGAAGAUCAGUAGCAAUCAGAUCUACAAUGAGAGUGGAGGGUAAUUGGUAUAGAUAUUUACUAUGCAAUUUUAUUCAACAAACAUUUAUUAAACUCUCACUACACGCAGGGCAGUAUGUUAGGUGCUGGGGAUACAACAAUGAGUUAGACAUAGUCCCUGCCCUCAGGGAUGUCACAGUCUAGUGGGAGUGGGGGGCAUGAGUCAUAGAAACAGCCAAUAUAAACCCAUUAUUCCUGCCUGACCCUCCCAUGCCAAUCCAAGGAAAAAGAUAUGGUGAGGCCCUCUCAGAUAGGCAGCAGCUUAGAGAAGCUCAGCCAUCUACAAUUAGGGACAACAUCCACCUCAGGUCUGGACACAGAGGAUACUCCAUAGUAGCCUUAAUCCCAUAUUGAUCCCAACCUCAAAGUAAUUUCCCCAGAUUUUGCCCUAACAGGGUGUCUGUUCCUAGAUCCUUUAGGGUGUGAUUGAGUUGAAGGACAAGAGAAGAAGGAGCUAGCUGAGUUGAGAAUGGAGGGUGAGACUUAGGGGCUGCUGAGGGACAGCUGGGAAGAGAAGCCUGGGGAGGGCAGGGAUGGGGCCAUCCCAGGUCAUGGGCUGACCUUCUGGCCGCUGGAUACAGGUAUGCUGGUUGUCGCUGAGGAAGAAGCCUUCCCGGCAGUGGCACUCAUAGCUGCCCAUCAUGUUGACACAGCUCUGCUGACAGCCGCCGUUGCCCUCGGCACACUCGUCCACAUCUGUGCAGGAUAGGUAGUCAGUGGGGUCAUGGGGUACAGGCAGGGUCCAGGGUAUAUCCCAAGACUUCAGCACCAAAGGCAGUCUUAAGAACUACUACCCCCUAAGCCCAGCCUUAAGCCAGGAAGUCCUCACACCCUUGUCAGCUAAUAUUUCACUAAGUGUAAAAAGGCUGCCCUGAGGGCAGAGCUGGGAAGCUAAGCAAGUGGGGGAAAAGGGGACCUUUGAACCUCAAAUGUCACCUAGGUGAAGCCAUGCCUCCCUUUCCCUCACCUGUGUAAACUGGGUAUGAAGACAGAGGACACCAGGAAAGAAGCCAGAGAAAGAGGAACAGUGAUGAAGGUAAGGAUGGAGAUUGGUCACAUUGGUCGGAUAGGUAACUGGGGGUUGCAGCUGGUUGCAAUGAGCAGCCAGGGAAUGUAGGAACCUGGGAAGUGGCUCUGGGUGCAGGCAGAGCUAUGGCCAUGGUGCUGAGGUUGGAGGGGCAGGGUGGGGAAAGGCAGCUGAGCCUCACCUCCUUGUGGAGCAGGGACCAUUUCUGUGGACAGGCCACAGCCCUGUCCUUCCUCCCCUCCCCCCUGUGCCUGGGCUUGCUGCCAUAUUCCCUAGCCUUUCUCCUAUUUUGGCUUAACAAAACAAAGUCUGACAACUUGGCGGGGAGGGAUCUGGGGAGAGCUGCCAGGCCACACCCUAGAUGGUGGGGGUGGGGGGCAGGGAGAACAGUAGGCUCUCACCCCCAAAUCACCACCCCUAGGUUCUAGAGCCAAGCUCACCCUGGAGCCCCCAAUUCAACACCUUGAUUCCAUCUCUAUGCUAGCUACUGCCCUCCCAAGUCCAUGGCCCUUCUCAGUUUGCCUUGGCCCAGGAGGCAUCACGUAGAUUGGUUGUCAAAUGGAGCAGCUAGAAUCUGGGCUCCUGAGGGCUUCAUCUGCCCCUCUCUUCCCAUCCUCUCUGCUGAGAUCCUGCAACCUUCUCUUCCCCUUCUGGCCAGGGCAGAGAGGCCCAGAUCCAGCUGGCUCUUGCCCAAGAGAUGCACCUGUUGGAAGAGCUAAGGUGUACUUUCCUGUGCUUUGCUCCUGUCUCUACCCUGUCUUUUGCUGUUCUCUUGACUUCUCCCCAUCCCUGUCUUCCUGCUCUUGCCACAUUCUACAUGCCAUCCUUCUGUCUGCUCCCUUACUAUCUAACCUUGUGGCUUUGCUACUCUAGCCAAGCUCUUUCCUCCAAUUCUCAGUGGGGAAGCUAAGGCCCAGAGCAUGGACAACUUUCUCAAAAUUCCCCUAAGAGCCAAAGGUAGUAUUGAGACUUUGAACCCUAACCCUAGGUAAUCUUUGUCCCUUGACCCUCUCUAUACCUAAUCAUUCUCUUGUCCCUCUGGUUGGUUCUCCCCAAAACACUUAUAGGGAAAUGAGAUGUGGUGACAAUCAGGGGCCUAGAAAAGUCAAAGGCAGCCAAAGAACUCAGAAGCUUAUGUGCAUGUCCUGUAGGCAACUCACUGUCCUGGUCUAAGUGCCACAGCUUCCCUUCCCAAAGGAGUUUCAUAAGAGGCCCUCAAGGGUGACUGGGCAGAUAUGAGGCCCUUCCCUGGAAGCUAAAAUGGUAGGAGAGGUGACCAGGGCUGGGAUUAAGGGCCCAGCAGAUAUCAGGGUUUGGAGGCCAGGGUUGGGUGUAGAAACCUAUAGCCUGGGUCCAAUGAUGGGUUAUGACUAGGUUUGGAGGCAGCUCUGCAGUAAGGAGGCUCUUCUCAGCCAAUAGGACUUAAGAGAAUUCAUCUAUUUGGUCAAUUGGUGGGUGAGGACCAGCCCAGCCUGCUUUUCUGGGCAUCAUUCCUUUUGUUUCUCUUCCUUUCCUGGUCCUUUAUGCUUCUAGUGCCUGUUUUCUGUUGUGGCUACAGGGUGAAGUAAUUUGGGAGAAGGCCCUGGGUUCAAAUUUCAAAUCCUUUUCUGCUAUGAGCUUCAGAUUUUCUGCUUGGGGAAGAGUCUGACUUGGUCCCAGUAAUUUUCCAAAAUGACAGAGACCAAAGUUGAGUUCAGUUCCUUAGAGAUUCUCUUAUCUCUGAUCCAGCUCCUGGGACAAAGGAGAUCAGUGAGGAGAGGGUGAGACUGGAGAUUGCAGGAAGAACUGGGAGAAAACAAGCCUGUAAGGGUCAGAGGCUUCCUGGGGCAUAGGGAUGCACUGUCGUCAUCAUCAAAAACAUUCUUCCCAUUACUGAGCUCCUACCAUGUGCUAAGGAUUGUACAGGGCUCUUUUCAUAUGUUGUCUUGUGGUGAUCCGCACAGCAGCCUUCAAGUGGGUUAUUACCACCCCAUUCUAUUUUAUUGUUAUUUUUUGAGAUAAGAUUGCUCGAUCUGGAGCGCAGUGACACAAUCACAGCUAACUGCAGCCUCGACUUCCUAGGCUCAAGCCAAGGAAGAGCUCCCAAGUAGCUGGGGACUACAGGUAUGCACCAUCAUGACUGACUAAUUUUUAUUAUUAUUAUUUUUUGUAGAAACAGGGUCUCACUAUGUUGCCCAGGCCUGUCUUGAACUCCUGGGCUCUAGCAGUCCCUCUGCCUCGGCCUCCCAAAGUGCUGGGAUUACAGGUGUGAGCUACCACACCUGGUCCCACCCCCAUUUUAGAGAGGAGAAAGAUGAGAUUUCCAGAGAUUGGCUGAUUUGCCCAAGACCCAAGGCUAGUAAGCAGCAGAACCAAGAUAUCUGUGUGGAGCCAAAUCAGCUUCCUACCAUGCCUCACCACUGGCUAAACCCACUAUUCCCAUCUCCUGGCCCUUGCCCUAGGAGCAUUUCGUAGCAGCUUUUCCUCUAAUGUUUUUCAUCCAGCAGGAUUUUUCAUCCUAAGUGGCCAGUCUCAAAGGGGAGGCUGACCUUAUUCUCUUGUGAAUGUAGCUCUUCUUGAUCACUCUCUCCUCCUUCCCUGGGAAAUAGGAAAUGCUGAAAAGAUCUCUUUCUCCACAAGACAUCCCUCCACCAAAUCCCCUCUCCUUUGCUUACCCAGACAGUUGUGUCCGUCAUGUGCCAGGUGGAAUCCAUCAUAGCAGGUACACCGGUAAUUGCCAGGGAUGUUGACACAGUCAUGCACACAACCUGCAUUAUCCUCUCGCUCGCACUCAUCCACGUCUGUGGGCAAAGGGAAGCUGAGACAGCUGAACCCACCUGCGAACCCACUGUCCACCCCCAGACUCAGCCUUAUGGUUGUGUUUACAUAGUUAUGUUCAUGGCCUAUAAGCCAUUUAGCAUUUUUCUGUUUUCAUUUAAACCUAAGUCAUGAACAUUUUCAGGUCUCCAUCCAGUCUUUCUAAUUACCAUUGUACAUGGUUGCAGAAUAUUAUUUUUCUAUUUUUUUCUCUAUUGUUAGAGAUUUAGAUUUCUUUAAUUUAUUUUACCAUCAUAGAUAAUGCAUCAAAGAACAUCUUCUCCCAUGUAUUAUUUUGUUACUUUGAAUAAGUCCCCAAGAGUAAAAUUCCUGGAUCAAAGGAAAUACCUUUUAAGAUUCCUGGUAGGUAUUACAAAAUUACUUUUCAAUUUAUAAUGCAACUAGGAAUUAACAAGUGUACCCUGUCCACUAAAGUCUCACCAACACUGAAGCUCAUAAAUUUAAUAUCUCAAGGCUACUUUAAUUUGCAUUGAUUUAAUUAUGAGGGGAAGAUGUGUUUACAUUAUGAACUUCCUCUGAAGCACACUUUCUGUUCCCAUCCAUUGUGGAUGUGGUGUAAGGGUCUAAAGAUAAAGGUUCCAAUGUCAGGGAACCUCAGGUCUUAGUCUUAUGAUUUUCAUGCUCCCACCCCAGCCAGGUUGUGGGCUGUGAACUGUCCCCACCAGGGCCUCUGCUAGCCUGCAUGGUGCCUUUGUGCAAAUUAGAAAAUGGCACCCUCUCUGGGAAGAUGCAGUUGCCCCCCUCACCACCCCCCCACCACUUGACCAGUGGAAUUUCUAGCCUUGAUGUGAUGGAGAGUGGCCAACUGAGGGCAGUGGCACUGGUUUGCCUUCUUCCACAGGUCCCUCUCCUCCAGGUGCCCUUCCAGCCUCACCUUUGCAGUGUUUGCCGUCCCCUGUGUAGCCAGACUUGCAGAUGCACUUGUAUGACCUCGGGGUGUUCUGGCAGAUAGCAUCGAUGUGGCAGUUGUCAGUCCCCUCCACACACUCAUCCACAUCUGGCAGGGGCAGAGGGGGCACAUGAGAACCUCUGUUGGCACCUCUUAAGGGGUGUCUUGAAGGUGGGCUUCCAAGGGCAGAAUCCCCUCUUCUCUAAAACAGAGGCAGUGACCCCCUCCAGAAACAGGUGCUGUCUCACAUCUCUCUGAUUUCAGAGUAGGCAGACACUGAUUUUGGGAAUUCAGAAGGAACCCCCACUGCCCUCAAAAAUACUAAAUUCACAGUGACAGCUAAAACUCCAUCAUUCGAAACACUCCUUUUUUUAUUUGAAAACAAACAAAAAACCCUUAGAGUGGGUAGUACACUUAACUUGAUUAGGAAUAAUCAACUUAAAGUGAAUGAGUUUACGGAGAAGGCUUAGAGGGAAAGUUAAGGGAAAAGGCAUGGGAACAGUGGUCUCUGGGAAGGUGGCAGGGUCCAGCAAUCACUAGUAAAGGAGGAAGAAAGGGGGAUGGGGCAUCUGAGGGAUCUUCAUCUGUGUCAUGAUUCUGCUUGAGACCAGGCCUGCUUCCACUUGCCCACCAUGGAGCCAAGAAGCUUUAGAGGAAAAAUGUUCCAUCCUGGAUGAUUUUCCUCGGCCCCUGUGCUGCCAACAAUGGAGACAUCCAGAGCUGGCAGAGGUUGGCACCAGCUACCUGAAGCCUAAUAAGUGCAGCCCUUCAGGCCCUAAUCCCCAGUGUUUAGCCCUCUGUCUCCUGGCCCUAGCUCUAACAAUAGGUGCUACACACACAGCUAUACUUGAAGGAAGAGGCCACUCACCAUCUAGCAAAAAAGAGGAUGGUUAGGAAAGGACAUAGAUGAUGCCAGGCGCGGUGGCUCAUGCCUGUAAUCCCAGCACUUUGGGAGGCCAAGGCAGGUGGAUCAUGAGGUCAGGAGUUCGAGACCAGCCUGACCUUGAUGAAACCCCAUCUCUACUAAAAAUACAAAAAUUAGCCAGGUGUGGUGAUGUGUGCCUGUAAUCCCAGCUACUCAGGAGGCUGUGGCAGGAGAAUCGCUUGAACCAGGGAGGCGGAGGUUGCAGUGAGCUGAGAUCGCGCUAAUGCACUCCAGCCUGGGCGACAGUGAGACUCUAUCUCAAAAAAAAAAAAAAAAAAAAAAGGACAUAGAAAAGAGUCCAACUUCUGAGGCAAUAUUAUGGUGCCCUUAAAUCUGAACUGAAAUAGAGAAACAUGUUAUUCAGUUGAAAACGCCUUAUUGAGUGUGUUUGUGAAAGACACUAUAAUGAUAGCUGUGGAGGCUCAAAGGUGACUCAGCCCAGCCAAAAGGAGAAACAAAAAACAUGGAGCAGAAUGUGGUACAUGCCCUGAAGACAUGAGAGAUAAGGUGAGGGGGUCCUCCACCCUGCACAUCAGAGUCAACUCUCCUAGGAGAUGUCCAAGCCACAACCCCAGAGAUUCUGGUCAGAUAGCCUGGACUGGUGCCGGGCCAUCAGUAUUUUUCUAAAGCUCUUCCAGUUAUUCUAAUGUGUAGUCAAGGUUGAGAACCUGUGUUACGGGGCAGAUCAGAGGAGAAAGAGAUUACUUCCAGCUGGAAACUGGGAAACCCAAAAUAGUGUCUUAAGUAGCAGCCUGCAAGUGAGUGAUCACUGAAUGGGAGGCAUUACUCUCCUGUGAUCCCACAACUGAGCACAGAAAGGAGAUGAGAUUUGACACCAAGACAAUUUGAUAUCCAAGUGUGAUCUAUGGGCCAUAGAAUUGCCUAGGUUUUAUUAAAAUGCAGAUUCUCAGGACUCAUUAUAGCCUUUUUGAAUCCAAAUCCUUAAGUGAUUAUUUUUACUGAGUGAAUGGAUGCAUGGACCAGUAUUCUCUCCAAUUUAUAGAUACCCAGAGUCCUAGCUUGAGACAGUUAUCUGUCCUCCGCUUUUAUACUCUGAAACUUCCUGGGGCUAAGAAGAGAACUGAAAUCCCCAAACACCCUGCCUCAAAUCUCACAGGUUUCCGUUCAGCUCUUCAUUCUACCCUUCAACUCCUAUGCAGCCAACCAUCAUACCAGUUGAUUCUAAGUGCUGGGAGCCUCUGUCUACACUUACUCUCCACCUCGCUCAGGCUCCAUAGGCAUGGUGUCUACCUGCUGGCCCAUCCUGGGAAGUCAUCCCAACGUGACAGAAUGGAAAAGAGAGGGCAUGGAAGACUAGUUCAUAGGUAAGGGCAAGAGGGACCUCGCAGAUGGUAAGGUGCUCUGUGGAGAAUCAGUUUGUCCAACUGAUAAACAGAAAACAGUACAAAGAAAUGUGCUAUCACAGAACGAUCUUAAGCACUGGAACCAGUCAGUCCCAGAUUCAAAUCCAGCUCUACCCUUCUCUAGGGAUGGUUUUCUUAUUCUCCAUCUCCUCCCCCUUAAAAUGGGGAUGAUAAUACCUCCUCAUGAGAGGCUGUGAGUAGCUGAUGGGAUAAUUUGUGUAAAUUGGCUAAUAAAGUAUCUGGUAAACAGUAGGGUCCCAAUACAGGAAGCUUGAGAUGGUAUUAAAUCACUGGUCAGGCAAUAGAUGCUCGAGACAGUAUGACAGCCACUAGCCACAUGUGGUUAUUUAAUUUAAAAUUCACUUCCUCAGUUGCACUAGCCACAGGCCAAAUGCGCAAUAGCCACAUGUGGCUAGUGGCUACCAUGGCGGAAAGCAUAGAUAUGGAACAUUUCCAACACCACAGAAAUAGCACUGCUAUUAGCACACCACAGGAUAGCACUGCUCUGGGGUUCUGAAUAAGAGAUACUCCCUGGGUCCAGCAGCACGGAUACUGGUCUGGAACUGCUCCCCUGACCAUAUCAGAGGUAUGUGCCUGUGACUGAAUCAGCUGGUGCUUCACUAGAGACUGUGUCAGACUAUAUGGGCUCCCAAUUCUUUCCUUUGCCUCCCAUUCAGUGCUCACCAGUACUAGAGUGGAUCUUGAUGCUGAUCACCACAAACCCAGGCCUCCCAGCAGAUUCUUUUUUUUUUUUUUUUUUUUUUUUUUGAGAUGAAGUCUCGGUCUGUCACCCAGGCUGGAGUACAGUAGUGGUGUGAUCUCGGCUCACUGCAACCUCUGCCUCCCAGGUUCAAGCUAUUCUUCUGCCUCAGCCUCCUGAGUAUCUGGGAUUACAGGCAUGUGCCACCACACUUGGCUAAUUUUUGUAUUAUUAAUAGAGACAUGGUUUUGCCACAUUGGCCAGGCUGGUCUCGAACUCCUGACCUCAAGUGAUCUGCCCGCCUUAGCCUCCCAAAGUGCUGGGAUUACAGGCGCGAGCCACUACACCUGGCCACAGAUUUUUUAGACCCCUCCUACAGCCAGACUUCUCCCACCAUCUAACUAACCCCUCUCCCUUACCUCCCUGCUCACAAUGCUUAUCCCUCUCCAGCAAAGAGUCUCUGCUCUGGAAGACAUUAUCUCUUCCUGUUCCCUCUACAAUACCUAACCAUCCUAUUCCUUUCUAUGCAUUUGCGUAUUUUCGUUAUUCACAUUGCAGAUGCAUUCCUCAUUUUUCUCUUCCAGCCACACUAUGCUCAGCUUUCCAUUCCAGCUCAAAUUUUUCUUCCCAAAAGCUCUUCCUUGUAAGCCCCGUUCCUGGUGAGUUCCUGGUCCAAGGGGACUGUUCUCCUCAGUUCAUUUACAGCCGUCACUGAAUUGCUCUGCUAAUACUUUAAAGCGUGUUCAGCUUUCCUCACCUGGCUGGGUACCUGCUGAGGAAGAUGUCCCUUCAAUGUUUGGUUGGAGUCUUUUGAAGCAGAACAGACCUAAGACAAAGCUGUGAAAGAGGGCCCCAAAUUAUACCCAGUAUCUCCUCCUUUUACCACUCAUUCUUCCAGAGUUCUCUCCUACCAUAUGUGCCCACCCAGAAUUUGUCCUUGCAAGGACCCUUCAACGCUCACAGCACAGUCUCAUCUUAGCCUGUUCUCUCAGGAUGCAGGUGCUUACUAGCUGGAAAACCAGUUGAUGCUACUGGGUGUGGACUGGUUUAAACCAGCGGUUCUCAACCCUGGGGCUACACACUGGAAUUCCCUGGGGGUUUUGAAAAAAAUGUGAAUGUACAGAUGUCCCCUAGACCAGCUGAAUCAGGAUCUCCAGGGUGAGGCUGUGGCUACUAUCUGUCUUCCUUUCCCAAGGUAAUGCCAAUAAACUAUUUGCCCAAGCUGGGAAGAGACCAGGGCAGCCACAUGACAGAGUAGUUAAGAGAGAGGUUCUGGAGCAACAUUGUCAGUUCAAUUGCUAGCUCUACCUGUGUCUGUGUGGUCCUGGGCCAGCCUCUGAACUUACCUGUUCCCUCCUCUGUAUGUGGGAAUAAUAUUCAUCAUAGUACCUCCCCAUGGGGCUUCCAGGAACAUCAGUUGAAUUAAUACCCAUCAAGUACUUAACACCACAGUGUGGGCAUAUAGAAAGUGCUCAACAAAGGUUUGCUAUUUUUUUCUUUCUUUUUGAAACAGAGACAGGGUCUUGCUCUGCUUAUCCAGGCAGGAAUGCAAUGGCAUGAACAUAGCUCACUGCAACCUCGAAAUCCUGGGCUCAAGUGAUCCUCCCACCUCAGCCUACUGAGUAACUGGGACUAUAUGCGCGUGGCAUCAUGCUCAGCCAAUUUUUUAAAAUUUUUAGAGGCAGGGUCUUGCUAUGUUGCCCAAGCUGGUCUCGAACUCCUGGAUUUGAACGACCCUCUCAUGUCAGCCUCCCAAAGUGCUGGUAUUACAGGUGUGAGUCGCCAUGCCUAGCCAAGGUUUGCUACUAUUAUUCCUUCUCUCCAACCUUCUCCCUGUAUUCUUUCUGAACUCCCUUUCCCUAUCAAAGCCCCAUUUCAGGCCUGGUGUGGGGAAAUGCAGCACCAGGUGAGCAUGUGUUGGUGGGGAGGAUUUGGGGAGACACAUCCCCACUGCUUACUCUACCUGUGCUGGGAACUGCACAAAGAAUGGGGGUGAAGUGGGUGAGAGGCCAGUUGGGAACCCAAAAGCUGUCCUCUACAAUUCUUUUUGAAGGCUAGGGAGAUCCCACUCCUACUUCAGGCCAUGCAUUGGAACCAAAGUUGAGGUGGGGGAGAGUGGUGGCUGCACAGAUACCAUAGACAAGCCAAGACCUCCCUGCCUCGCCCUGUCCUGGCAUGAAGGCACAGGUCUGUAACUACAGCAGCUUUUCCCAGUACCAUCUGACAUUUCUUCUGAAUUUGCUUUAGCGCCUAGCAGAGCACUCCAUAAACUCUCCUAAAGUAGGUAGGAAGGGUAGGAUGGGGUAUGGGAUAUGAGGGUCAGAGGGUCAGACCAGAAAGGGUGGAUUAUUAUAAAACAAGUAGUCCUAAGAUUCUGAGGAUGGGCAGGUGUACCCUAAAAGGGAAGCAGUGGGAUUCCCAAGUAAAUACUUCAUCUACUUCACAAGUUUGCCCAAGCCCAGCUCAGGAACAGUAACAAAUGGAAAUGAGCAGGGAUGCCGGCUGUGGACAAGCAGACCCCCUAGGUAGAGUCCACCCCACCUUCCCAUUACCACAGGAAUUAUUACCUUACCACCCAUAGGGGAGGGGGUAAUUGUGGGCAAAUUUGAUGGGCCCAGUGGGACAGUCAGAAACAGCCUGCCUAGAGCCCUAAUGUACCCACCCACAUAGCUGUGACAUCCUCAGCCCAGCCAGGCUAGCCCAGGAUAUAUGGUGUGUGUAGCGCACUCUGCUAUUUUCCUCUCCUUGAAUGUCCUUGAGGACCCAGUUCAGGUGCCUCUGCUGGGACACUCCCUGUGACACUACCAGCCUUCUCUGAUCUACUCUUUCUCUUGACUCCUAAGACUUACUGUCAGGCUCUCUGGUCACCUGAUCAAUCCCAGGCUUGUGAUACCUCAUAUGCUACCUUGUACCAUUAUUUAACUUUUAGUUCAUGUGUAUAAUUUUCCUACUGAAGCAGUAGGAGCUUGAGGCCAUGGCUCCUAAAGCUUUGAAACCCAUGCAGCAACUGAAAUAGAGCUCAGCAUUCAUUCAUUCACUCACUCACUCAAUAGUUAUUGAGCACCUCCAACAUGCGAAGCACCGUGCUAGGUGCUGGGGAUUUGGCAGUGAACCAGAGAUGAAUUCUACAUUGAAGCCACUUAGUAAAUAUUUGUUAAACAGAUAGACGAGUGGAUGGAGACAUGGAUGCAUUAGUAGUGAGUGGAUAAUGUCUCUAUCUGUGGCAUCCCUUCUGCUCUAUGUUACCUCAGAGAAAAAUCUCACUUCUUUACUCUCCGUGAUCCCACAACUGUUCUGGAUGGGGGAAGUCCCAGGAAGUUUAGUCUCAAGUGGAGAGUAGGGAGAGAGGAAACUAAAUUCAGAGGGGUAGUACCCACUUAAAGGCAUCCAUAUGAUGAGUGCUGGGGCCAGAAGAGACUGGAACCAAUGAGUCAUAGGGUCUCAGGGUCUUCAGACAUCAUAUGGGGCUGCUACAGGGAUCUUUUCAGAGCAUCCCCUUCAACAGAUGUUCCUCAGCCUCCAUGCUAACUCUCAAUGAUGGGGCACCUGACACAGGCAUUCCACUGCUUGCCCCUGGUGAUUUCCCUCAUUCUCACCUCUAAGUAACAUCCAAAAUAAAACCAGCCCAGCCUUGGGCCAUGAUAUCCUAACCCACAGCAUGUGCACAUGUACCCACAUCUGCAUAUCUGCUCUACCUCCAGAUCAAAAUAGCAACCAGGGAGAUUGGCAGAGCCUGGAGUACCAGGCUGUCUUCCCAGUUUGGGACUGGCUGAGGCACUGUGACUUCAGUGAGAGUCUGGGCCCAUCCUCAGUCUAGAAAAAGCUUAUGCAAGGAUGAGGGUAGCCUAGAGAAAGUCCAGAAAACCACACAAAUGACCACCUGUUGAUUCCAAGGCGGAGACAGAGCACUUUCUCCUUUUAAAAACAGUAUCCUCUCCUCUCACUCAAGCUUAGCCUGCUCAACUGAACAGCCAGGAAAAGCUGCUGGUGUUUGGUGAUUUGAAGGGAAGGGGGUCUGAACCUCAGAAGCUUGUCACUUACUGGGGACCCUGAUGAGUUUCUCUCUGUUGUCCUGCCUUAUCCCUAAUCUAGCUCCCUGAUCAUUUGAAUGUAACCCUAAUUGGACAAGAAUUUUCUCCCUUUCAGUAUGGACAAAAUCAACAACCAUGAAUCAGAGACUUUUAGAGGAUGGGUAGUGAAGUGGGGGAAGAACAGAACAUUGUAGAGUGAGGGGCAGAGAGGCAGGCAGUGGGCAUGGGUAGGUUCUGGUUUUGUGAUUAGUAAUAUUAUCUCUUUAAUUGAAAAAAAUAAACUCAUUUCAGAUUCGUAUAAUUUCACUAAGUGUACAGUUUUUUCAUGCAGGUUGGUUCACGUGGUCUUCAAACUGUCCUCUCUCAUCUGGGGCCCAGUGAGGAUACCUCAGGAAAGAGCAAGUAGCUAGUGUAAAGCCAGGAUCCAGGUCUUCAAACUCCCAGUCCAGUGCUCUCUAACUACCCACUGUGUUCUCUAAGCACUUGAGGGAGGAAUCCAUGCCUUAGUCAUUAUUGUACCUCCCCCAACUCCACCUCAGCACUUAGUUCAGCAUGAAGCAUGCAUCCAGUAUAUAACCGUGGAGCGGAAGGAGCUGAAAUGUACAUGAUCCAGGGAGGAAAUCAGCAGUGGGAAUGCAGAUGCUCUGAGGCUUUGGGCAUGGGAGCAGCAGAAGAGAGCAAGGCUGAGUAGUGGGCAGGGAGGGUACAGACACAGUUGCAAUAAGGAAAGGGUGGGCAAUGCAACAGUGGGCAGGUGUUGCCUGCCCUUGGAUUCACUAUGCUGGGGCCAAGCAGCUGGUUAGAAACAAAAACAAACACCAGGGAUACAGGUUCCUGCUGUUAACAGCUUCAAACCGCCAGAGGAAAACUCCAAAUAAAUAUAAUUAGAAACUUGUAAAAACGUCCUCUCUGUAAACCUGCUCCCCAGGGUCUACCCUUCAAGCACUCCCCUUCCCCAGCCCUCCCCCCAAUGCCCACAUAUCCUGAUACUCCCCACUUUCAGAGGGAUUCCUUAGAUGUGUUUCCUUAUCCUGGAUCUUCCCUCCAGCCCUGCAGCCCCUGCCCAGGUCUUUCCUCAGCUUGUUACCACCAGUGACCAGACCUGAAGAGCCCCUGGUGUAGGCUCAGAAAUCCAAACCCCACAGCUCUCUAGGGCUAUGGUUAUAACCACAGGGAAAACCAGAGGUAAGAGCAAGGACCACUGUGCCCUAUAUAGGGGUCAUCAUCCCAUUUGUUCAGCCAAAGCACAGCAUCUAACAGCAACUACAAAGCAGUGCUUGAUCUGCAGGGGGACAUGUCUAGGCUAGGGCAGAAUACAGACAGCUAGUCUCAGAGCUAGAAACACGGAAUCCUGGGGCCCAGAUCCAAGAAUAUUCAGUUCCCAUAACACGGAUAUUUCAGCUCCACUUCCCAACUUUGUUGGAUACACACAUAUAGAAACACACAUGUGUUCUUCAGGGGCUAUUUCCAGGGAUAAAUACCCACUUCAUGGACACAGUAAGAACUAUCAGCUACUUGGGGUUCCAGGAAACUGGGGUGGGGGAAGAAAGGAAGAGUAUCCAGAUGACCUAGCCUCAGGCAGGCAGAAGUGGACCAGCAUCCAAGGAGGAGAGCGCCUGAGAUUUGGGUGAGUAACCUGUGGAGGCCCGGCGCCUUCUGCCUUCAGCAGGAAGGAUUUCAGUGAGAUGUGCAGAAUCUCAGGGCUGCAGGGAACCCUACUGAUAUUUUACAAGUGAGAAGAGGGAUUUCAGUGAUUUCCUCCGAGGCUCAAAUCCUUAGGCUCUGCAUUUGUCUAAACCCACUGGCACCAUAUACCUCUAUAUCCCCGGUGCCACUUGAGGCUGGCAUUGGGUGGGCAUAGGAACAGGAGAGUAGCCAGUCCAAUGUUAAGUGGCCAGUGGGGGAGGGGAGUCUCUGUCCCCUCUUAGCCCAGGUGACUAGCUCCUGUACCCCCUAGACAUCCCUGGGUUGGCCGUUGUUUCGCUUCUAUACCCAAGGCCCAGCAGUCCUUCUGUUUCCAGACUCCAGUCUUCUGAGCCUGAAGAAGCUGUCCCCAGGUCUGGGCCUCUUGCAGGCACUGCCAGCCUCAGAGCAGCUCUGCAGUUUCCAGCCCUGACAGGGACUCUUUCUUAUAAGUGGUCAUGUGCUAGGGAUACGGGAUGUCAAAGGAGGCCCACACCCUGACAUUUGGGGACCAGAGCUGGGGGAAAGGACUGAGUGAGUUCAGGCAGCAAGCUCUUCCAGCUCCAUCUUCUCAAAAGGUCUGAAGCCCUUCGUUCCCUUCCCCUGUCCUCAGUUCAAGGCACUGGACCAAGCCAUUCCACUUCUUUACUUCUCCAACUAAAACAAAAUGCAUAUUGCCCCACUUCCUUUUUCCUCUCACCAGAGCACUUCACACACACACACACCCUGAGUCAUGCACACACAUUCACACGUGUGUGAAUGCACACUUCACAUUCCCAAACUCACACCCAGGGCCGGCUCCUCUUACAACAGGUCCCAGCUGCUCACAUCUCAAACCGGUUCUCAUGCUCUCAGAUUCCUGAAGGUUUCAAAAAACAAUCUCAUUUGAGGGCUGCUGAUGACUGUCUUCUUUCUCUGCCUGCAGUAAUUCUGGCCUUAGUGUCUUCUAGUCCCCUUUCUCUUAUUCCACCCUGCAGAGACUCAAAGAGAUGAGAAGGAAGGGGUUGAAAACAGGGAAAAGUCUCUGUACUCUCCCACCCCGAGGCUUUCCCCACCUCUGAGACAUGUCAUGAGAGAAGAGAGGUCAAAGGGAUUCCUGAGGAAUUUCUAAGCAGUCCACCCUCUUCUCCACCUUCUGGAAAAAUGGGGGUGGGCUUAGAGGGAACUGACUAAAGAUCAGGCUCUGAGUGGGGACUCUCCCUCUCUCCAGUGUGGCCUGGACAGGGCACAGGCAAUAGCCGGCUGCCCACGGGGCCACCCUUACCCGCUGACAUGGUUAUGGUUUUCAUUUCAUAUUUUGGAGGGAGGGGCUAGUAGGAACAGUCCCCUCACUGUAAGAGCUGGCCACAGGAGCCCAGGGAAGCGGGGAGGAAAGGAAACAGCCACAUUAAAGAGGAAGAGAAGGGUGGGAGAAAGAAAGAGACACAUACACCCAGACAGAGACCCGGAGAGACACACCGAGACAGAGAGACACUGUUUGCCACCACAUGAACGCUCUCAGUCCCAGGGAUGGGGUUACUUGGAAAUUCUAAAUGCAUGACUUUAUCAAAACUCUAUCCCUAACAAGGAGAGAAAACUACCAGGUAAACUAAACGGCCAGGCUGGCUCUCCUGGAGCCAGCCCUGGGGACAAGUUUCCCUGGAGGCCGAGAGACCUUUUCAUUCAGCUGUAACCUGAGCCCUAUGCGAGGAUUAGGUCUUUUUAACCACUGCUGCACACACCCCCCCCCCCGCCGCGCCUCCCCCCCGCCCCCCCCCCCCCCGCCAAACACCCACCCCCUUACCAAAAGCAAAGCAAAUUAAUGCUUUUAAGUUAACAAUUAUCUUGGUUAUCCAGUCUGUCUACUUUAAAAUAUACAGACAAGCACUUGAAAAACACUCAAAACCAUGUCCCCUCAUGCUCCCUCCCUUCCCAGUCACACAGGCUUACCCACCUACUCUUCCAUACAGUUCUCACAGACACUAAAACAGCAGUUUACCCUUAGCAACUACGUCACAAGAAACACAGACAUCCAGCUAUGUUGCCUGUGGGUAACUGUGGUGAACCUCUCAUGUGUGCACAGUCGCACACUCACCUUUACACUUAGGGCUCCCUUCCUUGUCUCCCCCUUUCCCCCCUUCCACAUGACUUUGGUUUUCCCAUUGUGGGAAUCACUGAUGAAAAGGGACAGAAACCCAGAUACCCCCAGAGGUAUAGUAACUCCGUGCAAGAUACUUGCCAAGGGUAUUUGAUUUUAAAGACCUGCUAGUGCUUUAUAUAAAGCAUGUGGCAUUAAAGGCACACUUUCUGGCACUGCUGAUAACCAGGAGAUAUGUUUGAAGGUAAGGCCUCCCUGAUGCUCACAGACUGUGUCUAUGGGUAAGGCUGUAAGGUUGCCCCGCCUGGUCAGUACUAGUUCUUCCUGCAGCAUCUGCCUGCAAGUUUGUGUCCAGAGACAUCCCUGUAACCCAGCAAACCUGCUAUUAGGCAACCUCUGGCAGAUGGGGUUUGUAGAUUUCCUGAAGAGAAGGGUCAAUGAAAGGCUUCCAUUCUAGGCCAAGCUUAGGGAUCAGAAGAAAAGAAGGAGGAUACCAAGCUAACUGCGGUCCAGUCACAGGAAGGGUGGCCUGUGAAUGAGAUAAGCUGGGGACAAAAACUACUCUAAGUUCCUUGAGGGCAGGGGCCUUCACUCUGGCAGCAUGUUCCUCAGUACCCAGCAGGGAGUCCAAUGAAAGUGGAAGCCCUGGAGUACCAUGCAGGGAUUCUGACUCCCGUUCCUGAAUCAUGAGCUGAUCUCCCAUACUUGAGUGCCUUGGCUUGAUGGCACCUGUCCCUUGGAGGGGUCUCCAUCUGCCCCUGGGCCCCCCUCGAAUACACUGCUUCUCCUUUGGUCCACAGCCUCACUAGGCCACUACAGACACUGGCUCCAACUUGAAAGAGGCCCUUAUCUUGUCUCUAGGUUACUUCAUGAUAUCUGUUCCUUCCUUCAGACUAAACUCCCCACCUAAUUCCAUGUUAUGAGUAAGUCAGCACACACUACAAAAGCCAGCUUUGUUUAUGAAAACACAAAUCCACAGUGAGGAGAGGGGCUGCUCCCAGGUUGGGGGUGGCAGUGGCGAUGCGCUGUCUGGAACCAGGACUGGAAAAGAGGCAGUGUGGGGCUGGAAGGUGUGGGGGCAGGGUCCAGUAUUUGACAGCUGAGGAUCUCUAGUGUUUCAGUUCUGUGAAAGGACAGGUUGGAGGGGGAAGAGGUUAGCUGAAGAGGCAGUGUUUGGGGAGAGGAGGGCGGCAUUGAUACAGCACCUUCCUCUUCACAGAGCAGGAGCCCAUCCAAUACAACAGAGCAGCUUAAGAGCCAAACGCUCAGGCUCUGGGACACAGCGACCUGUGUCGGACACUCAGGCUUCCCCAACUCCCAAGUUCAACUUUCCUUCUGGCCCAGCCAUCUCCUCACCCAGCUGGCUUCAGGAGCCCCUGGGACAAUAGGCAGAAUCAUACUCUCCUGGGCAAAACCUUGCCAGGAGGAAUUUUCUUUUUGUCCAUAUAAAUCUCUUGUCGGUGAGGACACGAUGGGGGAGGGGUACAGCAAGAGGUCAAGGGGGAGGAGAAACUGUCCCGAGAGAACUGUAGUACAUCAGCCUAGUCUCUGCCUGCACAGCCUUGGGACCUGCCAGGCGAUGAGCUGGGGGUCAGGGACGGGGGCGGGAGGCCUCCCUGUCUCUCUUUAAUUCCUAGAGGGAUCUGUCAGAGCUCCCCGGCCUGGAAUUCUACUUUGUUAUUUUAAUGCAAUUCUGACCUGGAUUUAAAUGGAAUUGGAAACCCGAGGCCUUAAUAAAUAAAUAUUAUGAUAAGAAAUGAAAGCCAUGCAAGACGAAAGAGAUUUCACCCCAAAGAGGCAGAAACGCAACAUUCCUGUCGGGAGCCAGUCACAGAAAUUUUCUUCUCUUCUUCAGCCCCCUACCAUCCGGUGAGAGAUGAGUUGAUUUUUCCAUAAAAGAUCCUAUUUUUCUUCAACAUUUUUCCACUGAUAAGGCAUCAACUUAGAAAUGUCUAACUUUGCAUGCGGGUUGGGGGUAAGGGAAAGAAAUAUACGGCACGGCUGAAAAGUUUUCAUUAUUCCCUCAGUCUCUCCAGGCCACAGCGUAAGUUUCUGGCAAUGUUUGAGAGAAGAGAAAAUUCUCUCUCAGAUUUUGGAAGACAAGAAGUCUUUCGAAGAUGCUGGGAGUGGAUGAAGUCGAGCGGAAUUCUGAGGCGCGUGGUCUCUUCUGCCCACCGCCCCCAAGAGUUUCUCACUCCUCUCUGCCGCCCCCAGCUUGUCCGGCUUUUCGCUCGGGGCGCAGCGCCCAGCGGUCGGGCCCCUGGCCGGGGAGUCCGGGUGCACAGAGCCGGGUUCUGACAGCAGCACGCUCCCCAGCACCUGCCCUGCCCCUCGGGAAUCGCUCCUAGGCCCUGAGGCCCAGCAGCCAGGACAGCCCCCAGGCCGCGCGCCCCUCCUUCCUUACCUUGCGCGGCUUUGCUGUACUGGGCGGCGCGGGCGUGGACCAGCAGGACAAGCAGGCAGAGCCCGGGUACGCGCCCCGAGCCCAUGGCUGGAGCUACUGGCGGCCCAGCCGCCGGGGCCGGUCUCGCGGCCAGGGGAGGGCGGAAGCCGGCCGGAUCCCAGCUCGCAGGAGGGGGAGGGGAGGGGGCGCCCCGCCGGGGCCAGGCCGGGGGCUGCAGUCGCGGGGCGCGGACCGCGGCGCCCUCGGCGCGAGGCUCCCGAUGCUACCGGCUCCUCCUGGCCGGACGUCGGGGAGAGCGAGGCGGAGAGUGCGACGAGGCGAGGGGCGCCAGGGGCGACUGACGGAGGGGAACCCCCGCCCUCUCCAAGCCGGCCUCUGCCAGCGGCGGCGGCGGGGCUGCUCCGUGUAAUCCCACCCAAUUCCCAGCUUCGCCGGGAGAGAGCUGCAGCCGGAGAGCGCGCAGAGCCCGAGCGAAGGACCUGAGAAAGGGGAGGGGAAACGCAGCGCCAGAAACACGCCCUUUCUGCCUCUCUUUCUUCCUCUCUCGCUCUUUCUCCGUCUCUCAGGCUCUUUUUCUUCGCCUUUCUCCUCCUCCUCCUCUUUCUCCUCCUCUCCUCGCUCCUUUUCGUUUUCUUCCUCCUCCCCCUCCUCCUCCUCCUCCUCCUCCUCCUUCUCCACCACCUCCUUUUUCGUGCCCUUUUUUCUUUCAAAUGGGGCCUCGGCGCGGUGGCCGCUCCCCCUGCGCGCCCGGGCGCGGUGGCCCCCUCCCCAGGCUGCCGGGCCGCUGCCUGCAGGAAUUUACAAUCCGGCGAUGGGGGAGCGGGCCUGGUCUCCAUGGAGACGGCUUCCCCGGGAGCAGGGAGGUCAGGCGCAGACCGCGCGCAAUCAAUGGAUCAAUGCAAGCUCCGCUCGGCUCCAGACCAAACAGCACCGGGCUCCGACUCGUCCUCGCUCCCCUAGGAAAGAGUCGGGGAGCGAGGGUGCGUCCCCGCGCUCGCUCGCGAGGACGGCCGUGCGGCGCCAGGUUUGAACGCACACCUCCACCCGAGACAAAGAGGGUGCGAGGUGUUGGGGAGGCUGGGGCAGACGUGGACACACGGACACACGGGCACUCGGGCGUGUCCACCGACACAGCCUGACAGGGGACAUAGGACCUCGGAACACACCGCCUCCGACACCAGGCCGAGUAACAACCUCUCAACUUUUACACCUACCACACCCCCAACCUCAAGACUCAGUCCCCAUUCCUAGAUGCGAGUCCACUUUGAGGACCAAAAAGAAAGUAGCCUCCGCCUGCUAAAACUGCCAGCUCCAGGGCAGACUCCCUUGCAGUUAAGGCCUUGGAGGUAAGCCUAAUGAACCACCCUACCCGCAGAGACAUGGACUCACAUACAGACACUCUCAUGUGGUCAGCACAGGGGCGAAAGCUACCCCACAGAAUCAUGUCUAUGUGUAUAAACACAGAGACAUAGAGACAGGUACAAGAGGCUCCUCCAAACCUGCACCCCGCUUCAAGAGGUGGUCCUGACUGGUCCAUUCUGAACCCUUCAUCCUUCCAACUGAGGGGAAGCAGAGGAAAGAGAAAGGAUAUUUUUAAAACAGGGGCAAACCGCAGAAGGAGCAGGGUCUUCCAACCAUGGAUGCUGCCUCUUGACUGUUCACCCACUCUGUAUCUUCUUUCCUUCCAUUGUAAGGGAAAGAGGAAAGACCUCUUGAAAGGCUAUGAAGACUUUCUUGGAGUGUGAGGCUGUGUUCAGAAUGAGACCAGGCCAGGUCCAGUUUUCUACAGGGAAGAUGCUGCUAGGACCCAGACUAGCCUCACAGAGCCCUCAGCGUACCCAGGAGGAAGAGGCAAUGACCAAGAUCUCCUCAAAGGUGCCGCCAUCUAACAUACCAUCCUUCAGCCCUUGGUGAAGUCCUGAAGCCAGACCUCUGGGAGUCUACUCAGGGAACCCACUGCCUCAAACAAAUUUGCAAAUAAAAUUAUUGUAUUUGAAAUAGGCCCACAUUGGUGAAGUUAAGAUGUGGAACUAAUUGUAUGUGUAUUUCUAUAUAACCACAGACUCAAUGUUUGAUGUUUGACAUUUAUUGUGCACUUACUAUGUACCAGGGACUUAAAGGAUGUGGGGAUUCAAAGAUGACAUGGUUUCUCCUUUUAAGUUUAUGAUUUGGCAAGAGAAAUUCACAUCUAAAUAAUUGGAAUAUAAGGCAGAAUGUGGUAAAUGUCCAAACAUGGAGGUGCCAACAUAAAAUUCUAAUGAGGGCAUAAAGAGCACAGAUUAAUUCCAGCUGGAAGCAGGAGGACAACUCAGUGGAGGAGGAAAGGGUUUAAAGCUGACCUCAAAGAAUAUAUAGAAUUCUCAUACAUGGAGUUGGGUGAAGAGAGUGAGGGCUUUCCAGGUGGCAGGAACAACAUGAGCAAAGACUUGGAGAGGAGAAUGUCUUCAGGGAAUUAAUAAUUGGUUCAAUCAGAGACAAGUAUUUCAGAGAGUGUGGAGGAAGAUCUGAAAGGUGGGAUGGGGCUAGACAAUGAAGAGCCUGUUUCCAUCAGAUGCUAAGCGACUGACAGUGUUGCAUAGGCUCCGGGAACCCGGCAACUUUACAGCAAAGUAGCAGCAUGGCGGGCUCACUUCAUGAAUUAGCUUUAUGUGUGCUCCAGGAUUUCUUCAAUGUGUUGAUUUUUAGUGAAUUUAUUUCAUCAUGAAUGCAGGAAGAGAACAGAAAGAAAAACGGGGAAAAGAGGACAUAAAAAGAAGUGGGCUGGGCAUGGUGGCUCACACCUGUAAUCCCAGCACUCUGGGAGCCUGAGGCAGGCGGAUGACGAGGUCAGGAGAUCAAGACCAUCCUGACUAACACAGUGAAACCCCAUCUCUACUAAAAAUACAAAAAAUUAGCUGGGUGUGGUGGCGGAUGCCUGGAGUCCCAGCUACUCGGGAGGCUGAGGCAGGAGAAUGGUGUGAACCCCAGGAGGCGGAGCUUGCAGUGAGCCGAGAUUUGGCCACUGUACUCCAGCCUGGGUGACAGAGCAAGACUCCGUUUCAAACAAACAAACAAACAAAAAAGAAGUGACAGGGAGGGAAAUAAUGGACAGAAGGAAAAGAGAGAUGGAGAAGGAAGAGAGAGAAAGAGAAGGAGGCAGCCCUGGAGGAGACAAGGCAAACCCUGAACUGUUCAGGGGCCAAGCUUAAGGAGCUACUUGGGCUUUUCCAGGCAAACGACCUCUGGCUUCUUGCCCUGGCCAACCACAGAGGACAAUGUGAGGCGAGUUUGUUUGGUGAUGUGUUUUCUGCUGGCCCUGUUUGUUUGUUUUUCAUUUUUCUGGUAUUGGACAGAUCUGGGGUGAAGGAAGAGGGAGACAGGGUUGUGGCUGGCAUUGAUAGUGGUCCUUGGGCUGGGCUCUGGGCUGCCCAGAGCCCCCCUUUAGUGGGGGCUUAUGGGCAUUGGAGCUGAACUUUUGAUGUCCCUGGAAGGGGGCCUUUUUGUAGGUGCCCAGAGCCAGGUGGCCUUCCCAAGCCUGGAGAUGGUUUGCCCUAAGCUCUUUGUCUCUGUCUUUCCCCACCCUGGCAAGAAAGAAUUAGUCCUUGAGGCCUGGGCUCCUUGCCUGUGUAGCCAGGAUGUCGUGCUGGGCUGGGGAGCCCAUGGGGGUAGCAAGAGCAGCUGCUUCCAGAUUGGUGCUGGGGAACGCAGGGGCAGUCCACGAGAGCCAGCCUUCUCCCCAGCCCCGAUGAUGAGUCUGGCUUUCUCUCCCGUCCCACAGCCCUUGGAAGCCAACCUAACAAGUUCUAUUAAAGUUAAUGAAACACAAUGAUUCCUCUGUUUGCUUGGUUACAACUCAUUACGAGUUGCUCUUGCUUGCUCGGCUUUUGCAGAGGAGAUUCAUUUGAGUAGCCAGUGCUUGGCCUUUGUCCCCCUAAUUUUUACUGGCCCAUUAACAAGAUCAGACACUUUGGCUGACCAGGAAUAUCUAGUACCCAAGUCCCAACAAAACCCAUUGGGUGGAGUUUCAGAUGACCUUUUGAGUCUAAAUUAGCCUAAAAACAUGCUGCCGCCCUUCCUCCCUCUGUUGCUUCCCUAUAUCCAAACUCAGUUUUAUAUGUAGGUACAAUAGGAGUAUGCAGAGAUUUCAGAAGUUAGGAGAUGCUUUUCCAGCCUCUUUAGAAUGUAUCUCAACCCACUGAUUUAGAGAAGUUCCCUAGUAAGAGCUCCAGCUCGAUUUAAGGGCUUUCCUCCCCCAUUUAAAUGGAAAUAAACUGAACAUUGUUAGUCACUUAUACUUUGGUGUGAAUUAGUUCAUAUUGUCACUUUAAGGGGAUUUGGGAGUCUCCUAAAUUGUAUACAAACUUUUGUCCACAUUAUCCAUUCUUCCAGAGAGAGGUUUUCUAUAGCUUUCUUCAAAAUUUCCAUAACCGUCCCCCCACCCCCUACCCCAACACGUACACACACACACACACAAACUCUCUCUCUCUCAAAAGGUUAACAACCUCUGUGUUAGUAGAAGAGUGGGCCGUAACUGGGGCACAGAAGACAAACUCUCCUUCCUUCACCAUCUGCUUGGCCAGUCCUGCCUCUAAGGAGGGACCUUCCCCUCCUCCUUGAGUUCCUUAUCCACAGACCUCCCAUUGUCACCACAGCUCAAUCAUGUGCUUCCCAAAUCUUAAAACCAACCUCAAGUUGGUGGGGAGGAGUCAAAAGGAGAGCCCUUGAACUCUAUGUUGAUUUACAUGCCGAGGCUGUAAAUGAUAGGUUUACAUGCUGGUGUAAAUACUCAUAAACUCGCAGUAAGUGCAGGGCAUCACAUGCUUUCAGUGUCCAGAUCCUCUGCAGCCCGUACAGGCCUGGCAUUCUCAGGGUCAGGGAGGAGAGCGCCGAGUUGGCAGCAGCUAGCAUGACAGGGGCUGACUAUGACUAUGGAGGAAAAGGGCGUGCUUGGAGUUGGUCUCUAAACCCUCAUCCUCUCCCAUACAGCAGGUGGCUUCUGCACAGUGAUACCUUGGCAUGACUCCCCCUGCUGCUCAGCCAGCCUGACUGUUCUUUUGGGUUAAAGCAUUGUCUCCAGAAGGUCCCUGUUAAAAUGCAAAGGGGCUUCUUGCAGGGUGACUUGGGCUGGUUGGCUGACUGGCUGUCACUCAACAGAAAACAGAGACCCCAGAUCAGGGAGGUUAAGGUUUGGGAGAAAGGUUCAGGUGGGUCAAUACUAUAGCUAUAUGAAGUUGAUUUAAAUGGCUUUCCAGGUGUUCUCCCUAAUUCCACUCUUGGGGGCUGAGAAUCUAUCCUUCAUAUGGCAGCCAGAGUCGUUUUAAAGCUGGGCCAUACAACCUCAACGUGAUUGACGUUUGUUGGGGGGCCAUCCUAUGCAUUGUAGCACAUUUAGCAGCAUCCCUGGCCUCUACCCACUAGGUGCCAGCAGCAGCACUCCCUCCCCACGUUGCGACAGCCAAAAAUGUCUACAGACAUUGACACAUGUCCCCUGGGGGAGGGGAGUGAAAUCAUACCCCCUAUCUUCACUUCCCCCUGCCCCACUGAGAAUCUCCAUCAUAAAGUGUAAGUCAGCCCAUGUUACUCCCUGGUCAAAAAUCCUACCAUGUCUUCUCAUUGUUCUGAGCAUGAAAUCCGCCGUUUGGCCCAGCCUUCAAGGCCUUGUGUAGUCCAGCCUUGCCUCCCUCUCCUGCCCCACCUUGUACCCCUCUGCUGUCAUCUACCAUCACCCUUUAGCCACAUAUAACCCUUUUUGACAUACCUCGAUAAACCAAGCUCUUUCUUGGACAGGGUGGAAGAUGGAGAGAUAUGGGCAGAUUUAGAGUAAGUUUCAGAGGCCCUAAUUUCUUUGGAUUUUACUGGGAGGCCUUUUCUUUUCGCUUUUUUGAGAUGGAGUUUAACUCUUGUCGCCCAGGCUGGAGUACAAUGGCGUGAUCUCGGCUCACUGCAACCUCUGCCUCCUGGUUUCAAGCAAUUCUCCUGAUUCAGCCUCCUGAGUAGCUGGGAUUACAAGCGCUUGCCACCAUGCCCGGCUAAUUUUUGUAUUUUUUAGUAGAGACAGGGUUUCACCAUGUUGGCCGGGCUGGUCUUGAACUCCUGAUCUCAGAACGUAAGCUCCAUCAGAGCAGGGACCAUGUCUGGCUUGUUCACUAUCGUGUCCUCAUCAUCUCCUGUACUGCCUGCCACAUGAACAAUGGCCAUUAACAGGCAUGGAACUGGAGCAGAAAUGGAAUGAACCCUAGGGGCCUGGGAGCCUGGAGGGGUGUAGGAGUGGGGAGGGGAUUGGGGAGACAGGCGGCAGAGGAAAGCGCCUGCCCUCGCCUCCUCCCAUCACCCCCUAUACCCCUGUCCCUAAUGAGGUGCUUCUGGCGGCACCUGACUUUUCCAUUGCAAACACCACUUGACUCUCGGCCCUUCACACUCUCAUGAGGUUCUAAGGGGCUGCACAGGCGCCGCCCACCCCAGCCAUGCCCUGGGACUCACCACACACCAGGAAGGCCGGGAGCUGCAGCAAGGGGACAGCUUAAAACAGCCCCACCAACACCCCAAAGUGGGUCUCCCAGUUCCCCGAGAAGGCCUGGAUGCCCUGCUGAAGGGUGAGCAGGGCCAUGUGGGUGACUUGGAGGACCCAAUUCCCCGGCCAUGGGAACCCCCAGCCUGGGCUUUCUUUGGGGGUAGCUGAGACAACGAGCCCCCACCCAGAGCAGGAGAUGACGCAUUUUUUCUGUGGCCACAAGCCACUUUGACGGGUCCGCCCCACUGGGGAGCAACCGAAACCUCAUCCCACCCAAAGCGGCCUUUGUCUGCACUACAUAUUUGUCUUAUUUGGAAGAUUUUUGUGGGUUUUCCUGUCUUUCUCCAGCGCUCACUGCCCUAAGGGGGACGAAGGCCAUGGCGGAGCUGAGGGAAGGGGGUGAGAGGCAUUCUUGGGGCGCUGUGCCUGGUGGUCUGCAGCACAUUUGGGGGUGGGAGAGAAAUCCACCCCACACACCCUCGGCGCCCCAGUGAUGCCUUGGCCCCAGGCCACACUCUGGGCCUUGCCUGUCCUCUGUGGACUCGUGCCCCUCCUGGUCCUCCCAGAGCUGUUUCCUCUCCAUCUUCUCUCAGCCUCCUCAGCUCACUCUCCAAUACUUCUGUUUAUUCCCUCAUGUUCCAUCCUUCCAGCCAGCUUGGCACCUCAUCAUUUCCUACCUCCCCCGUCAUGGGACCCUCUGCUUUCUUUCUACCUGUCUGAAUUCUGAAGACUCUCCCAGGGCUUGUUCCCCCAUCUUGCCUCCUCCUGGGAGCCUCCCUGGACUACUGUAGCGCUUGGCAGGAUCUCCUCCUUCUGAAAUGUAAAAGUAUGUGUUUUCUAUCCUUUCUGUGAUUCUAAACACACCCUGCCCCUAUACCACCUGCCCAGCUAAAUAGAGGCCAGAGGCCAUGGCUUUUGUGCCUUGGCGUCCAAGCCCCAUCCUGCCUUGUACAAAGCAAUUGCUCAACUAAUAUUUGUUGGUUUGGGGCUUCUUAAGGGCUACCCAUGAGAUUACCAACAAAUUAGAGAAUUUCAGUGAUGGAAGGGACCUAAGAGCUUGAAUUCUUGCUAAGGGGUGUCUGGGUUCAGCUUACAUACCUUUAAUGACAGGGAUCUUACCACUUCCUGGGGCAACCCAUUCCCUUGCCUGUAACUCUGACCAUAAGAAAGUUCUUCCCCACGUUGAGCUAAAACCUGCUGCCUUCUGGCUUUCCCCACCCUACUCCCAACUAGGUCACAUCAAACUAUUCCAGUCCUCUUUCCUCACGACCACCCUUCAGAUAUUUGAGGGCAGCAAUCUCCUACCUCUGCAGUCUUUUCUUUUCCAGGGGGAAACACCUGUAGUCCUAACCUUCAGUGCCCCAAUGCCCCUGAUGACCAUGGACUUUGGGUAUUCCCCCCCACCCCUGUGCUGGGCCUCUCCCACAUCCCUGCUGAACUCAUUCUUCUCACAAAAUCCCC
Molecule: long non-coding RNA, 53411 nt
Filed under: Homo sapiens (human)
Lineage: Eukaryota; Metazoa; Chordata; Mammalia; Primates; Hominidae
Description: non-protein coding lnc-TCP11-2:6
Source: RNAcentral